RNAcentral lists this long non-coding RNA (64782 nucleotides) under Vigna radiata. RNAcentral describes it as "long non-coding RNA (VRAD_LNC003091)". The record is from RNAcentral. Lineage: Eukaryota; Viridiplantae; Streptophyta; Magnoliopsida; Fabales; Fabaceae.
GGAUUUCACUCUCAUCUAUGUCAAAUAUUAGUUGUGCUGAUUCGCAUUUCUCCACAUUCAAUUCUUCUAAGUUCUUCAAGUAAGGUAGUACAUGAGAGGGAAUCAAAGUAUCUCUUUUACAUCCUUCAUCAAAUUCCAAUUUCUUCAAACAACCAAAGAAAUUUUCCGGAAAAGCAAAUUUACCACGUCGAACUUUCCUCUCGGGAUAAUCAACAAGUUUUAUAUCCUUUGAAUAUUCAAAAGAAACCUUAGAAAGAGAAGAAACUAAAUGUCAGAUGCACAUGACAAUCAAUGGUUCAAAUAUUAUAUAAAAAGUCUUUAUACUAAUUCUUAUGAAACAAAUUUGCAAAAAUGAAAAAAGUGGAAAUUGUUUCAAAUAAUUCAAAGAUGAUGAUAAAGGUCAUCGUUUGCCUUAAUUUGAUUGUGAAAUUGUGCUAAACAUUUGGAUAUCAAAUCCAACUUGAUAAUACAAUCCAUAAUGUCCAUGCUUCAUAUUAUUCUUUUUUGCAAAAUAAUUGAAUUAUUAGUUAUGAACAUUUUCCAAGAAAUUAACAUUAAAUUAUCUUUGGAGAUAUGAUGCAAUGAAAAUUUGUGAUGAUGAACAUACUUUAAUGCAUACCUGGUUUGUGAAAUGUGUUUGUAGAGUGCCAUUCAAAUCACCUUCCCAAUACCAUUUGUCUUUUUCUCCUGCUUCAACAUGUACUUUUUGUAGGUUUGGAGCACUUUGGACUUCAGAUAAUUUUGUCAUUUUAGGGCAUUCACUCACUACUAAUUUUUCUAGUAGUGGGAAUUUUAGGUCACACUUUUCAACACUAGAGAAACUUGUGAGAUUUUGUAGAGACACCAAUUCUAAUGAUUUUAAUUGUUUAAACUCAACCUCUUGUAUAUUUUCCUCUUCAUUUUCUGCAACAAUUUCCAGAAUUAAUGGACAUGAACUUACUUUCAUCGUUGUGAGUUGAUUUAAGGUUUUAGCAGUUGAGAGUGUCAUUAAAUUCCUCAUCAUACAGUUCACCACUUCUAAGGAUGUUAAGCAACUAAAAGAUACUAACGAUGAUGCUAGAUUUCUCAAUUUUUUGCAUCCACGGAUGAUUAAGCGUUCUACCCUUUGAAGAAGCACAUCAUGCUCAAAACCAAUCUCCUCUAGAGACCACAUGCUACGUAAUUCUAACUCUUUAAGUUGCAUAACACCACCUAUUUUUUCACAUGAACUAAGACUUUUAGGAGUCCAAAUUCUUUUCAUGUGACAAUGUCCCAAUGUUAAACUUUUCAAAUUGGGAAUUCUAUGAAGAAACCAAAAGAAAAUUUUAUUAUUGUUCAACCCAUACAAAGUAAGUUCUUCUAGUUUGUGCAUUCUGUGAACAUUAACAAUGUAUUUUUGCAACCACUUUGCUUCCUUCAAGCUCACCGACAUGUAUUCCAAGUUAUAUAUUGCCUAAAUAAAUAAAUAAAUAAAAAGACUUAUUGUUAGUAUUAGAGCAUACUAGUUGAAUCAUAAUGUAUUAUUUUGAUUUAAGAAAUAAAAGACGUAAUCUCACAUCCUUGUUAAAGGUUGCUAAUUCACGCUUUUCAAUAAAAAACAGGACAUUCUAUAUCUGAAGGAACUUUAUGUACCUUUUUUGUAGCUAAAACAAUUGGUUGCUCUGAUGAAUUUGUGAUUUCUGAAGUCAAUCCUUGGAGCAUGCUACAAUCGACUAUUUCCAAUUUCUUUAAUGGUGGCCACUCUAAAGUAUGAAUUCCUGAGUAGAAACUCCUCAAGUCAUGCAAGUCAAUUAAUGAUAGAGUGUUUAAAUGAGGAAAUUUAAAGGUGAUAGCACUUUCACUUGAAUGUUUGUCCAAACCAAUAAUCUCUGUCAUUGCCCAACAAUUUCGUACCUCAAGGACUUCUAGUUUUUGUAGGUCAUUGGCAAUAGAAACUGGAAAUAGAUAUUUCAAUUUUGGACUCUCAUCAACUUUUAUGCUUUGCAAAUUAUUACAUUUGAGUAUUUCACCAGUAUCACCCUUCCAUACGUUCACCAAAUUUGGCAGGUCUUCUAGAAUUAUAUUACCCAAAUUUGCUUCAACAAUAUCAAAAGUGUGCAGAAUAUGUGUAAAAUCAAAUAUGUUUUCAACCAAUUCGCAAUCUUUAAUUGCGAAGCUUUGAAGGCUUUGCAAUCUUUGCCCCAUAAAAUUAGGAAAAAUUGUAACAAGUUUAUGGCACUCUCUUAUGAUCAAAGAGUUCAAAUUGCUAAAGGAAUGUAAACCAAUAUCAGAUUUCCAAAUGGUAGAGAGUUUCUCCAUGCAGAUAAUCUCCAUUUUCUUCAACUUAGGGAACACAUCAAUAUACUGUUACAAUAAAAAUACUUUACAGGUGAGCAAUUAAAAGACCUAAUUAUUUAAUAUAUCAGAGAACAAAGGAUAUCAUUAAUCAAACACAAUAUUAAAUGAAUCCACACACCUCUGCAUCUUCUGGACGAAAUAUAUCCUCCAUCAUUUCACAUUCACUUACUAAAAUGCUUUGAAGAUUCACCAAACUUCUAGCCAUGGAGAACGACAAUAAAUACUUUAAAUUACCACAAUCUGUCACAUUCAAUGUAAGCAAAUUUUGAAAGCAAUGGUUAUAUUGGUCACUCCAUAUCUUACAGAUGUUGAUGGAGGAUAACUCCAACCAUUCUAAUUUGGGAGUUGAGACCUGUAAGAACACAUAAAAUGUCACGACAAUAAGACUUCAUUUCAAAAGACUUUUUCCCCAAGAGAAAUGACAAAACUUAAGCAAGUAUAUUUUCUAUAUUUCUAUUAAGGGAAGAAAAACAUAGAAAUUAAACAUUACACAUAUAAUUAUGAUAAGGUUCUCACAUACCUUUUCAUUGAAGAGUGGAAGACAAGAAUUGGUGACCCUGUGCUCAACAUCAACAACAAUAUCUUGGUUCCUUUGUUGGAAUACUUGGUCUUGCAAUGAGUGUGCACUACCAGGAAUCUUAUCAGCAUUAUAUAAAUAAAUAAAUGUUGGUAGAUACUUCAAUGUUAAAAUUCGUAAUUGGGGAAACUCAAUCUUAUCAUUGCUGAUAGUAUGAGUUUGGCUUUCUUUUGAAACUAUCUCCUUCAAAGAAUCACAGUCACACACUUCAAUUGUUUCAAGCUUAGUGAGGAGUCUAACUAUGCAAAAUGGGAAAAGGUUUAUCAAUUUAAUGCAUGUUUGAAUCUUGAUGACCUUUAAAUUGCGGAAAGAGGUCUCUACAAGCUGAUUGUCACAUAUUAUUUCCAAAUUAUCCAAUUUGUAAAGCCAUAUGGACUCUAAUUUGGGAAAAGCGACUAAAGAGUGAAACCGCUCCCUUGGAUUGAUAAUAUACUUAAUGCCAAAAUUGCUUACAAUGGAUAAAUGUUUCAAAUUUGGAAAUCCUUCAACAUUUAAUUCGUAGAAAAUAUCUUCAACAUCAUUGAGGUCUCCCAACAACAAACAUUCGACACUUUUGAACAACAUUUUAAUCCAUUUUUCAGAAUGAAUAUCAAUACCUUCUUUUAGGUUUAAUGCCAAAAAUUUCACCUCCUCAUACUUGUCAGGGACUUUGAAUUCUCCCACUUUAAUCAAGUUAAACAAGUUGAAUUCACCAAUGACAAUCUUGUAACUAUUCAACCUGUCAAAAAACAAAUUCUGCGGAAAAUGGGAAGAACUAUGGAUGCGUAUGUCUAGAUUUUGUAACUGAUUCAAGUGCCUCAACUCAGAGAGACUGGCAUUUUCACUUUUCAUAUUCUCUUCAGCCUCCCAUAUAAUCAAGUUGUCUCUGAUAUAAAACUCUUCUAAAAUGCCCAUCCUCGGUAUGAUAUUGGAAGUUAUAUGUAGUUUUAAGCAAUUGCUUAUGUCAAGAAAUUGAAGCUUAUCCAAUUGCCCAAAUUCAGGAGGCAAAUUUUGAAUAUUAGAUCCUGAAAGACUAAGAAUUCGUAAGUUAUUUAACUCACCAAUGAUGGAUAAGUUCUUUCCUAGAGUGCAUCUCUCCAAACAAAGCAUUCUUAGUUUUUUUAGGCAUUUAAUUGAGGAAGGUAAGCGAGAUAGAUUAACACCGGUCAAUACCAACACUUUGAGACGAAUCAUAAAUUUAAAAAAGUAAUCUGGUAUUUUGAAAGAUUCAGUGUCAUUCUCAAUAUGUAAGACUUCAAUUCGAGGACAAUGUAAUCUCUUAGGAAGCUCAUCUUUGAUGUCACAAGAGUGUAGAAAAAUGGCAGUGUACCUUUCAAAGUCAUUUUCGUGAGGCCACUCAUCAAGUAUUUCAUUUUUCAUAUACAACACAUCUUUUUCUUUGGAUAAUAUUGAAAGAGCAACAUCUCGCACAAUGUCAUGCAUGUUGAAGCGGUCAAUAGAAUAACUUUUCACCAACAAACUUGAUUCUUCUAGCUCUUGUAUCAUCUCCUUUACUCUUUUCCUCGCAUCUGUAAGUGUGUGAACUCUUGGAAGCAAAUUCAAACCAACACAAAAUUUCACCAAGUCCAUAAUCAAAGCAUCAUUUCCCAUUCUUGCACAGUGUAAGAAAAUACACUUAAGCUCCUCAUUUUUUAGAUGAUCAUAGCUCAACUUUAUUGAGAAGUCAGUAAAUCCCCAUUCUGAUGUAAAAUUUUGUCUUUUAAUUUGUUGACAGACAUCUUCCCAUGUGGAUAAGCUUUUAUUCUUUAGUGUCCUUCCUAUGGAAAUUAAGGCUAUUGGAAACCCAGCACUCCAUUUGGCAAUUUCAGUAGCAUUCCUAUCAAACUCAGAAUUUUUCACACCCGCAACUUUCUUAAGCAAAGUCUCUGAUUCCUUUUCGUCAAGGACUCCUACGGAAAAAAUUGAGCUUUCUUGCACAUCCAUUUCAUUACAUAAUACUUGUUUAUACCUAGAUGUUAGAAGAAUUUUGCCUCCUCUAUAAUCGUUAGACAAUUUUUCCUUUUUCAUCUUAGUCAAAUCAACUUUUGACAACUCUUUCAUUUCUUUCUUAUUAUAACCAAAAUCAGAUAUGUCGUUGUUGGAACCAAAAUCAGACAUGUCAUUGACUUCUUGUUGGCUUGCAUCAUCAUUGCAUGGAAUCCCAAGUUUAUUAAAGUCUAAUCUACCCCAAAGAUCAUCAAGGAUAAUAAGGGUGUUCUCCUUUUCAUUCUUUAACCUCUUUCGAAUGCGAUCUACUCUUGCAAUCUCACUUUCCUCUUCCAAUUGCAUUCCUAGCAUGCCAGCAAUUUGCUCUUGAAUUUUUUUGAAGUCAGGAUUUCCUGUAAUAUUUGCUAUGAUGACUAUCUCGAACAAAUUCUUUUCUCUAACUUUGUUAGCAAUUUCUUUGACUAAAGUCGUCUUACCCACACCACCAGGCCCAUAAACUCCAAUCAAACCAACUGUAGAGUCUUGCAGUGCUUUCAUGAUCAUCUCCAUAGUUUGAGUUCUUGAUGCAAAGCUUUCAUAACCAUUGUUUGAAAAAGUUGCAUCAACGGAUGGAAAUUCUUGGUACGAAACAUUGUCGAAAGAAGUUUUCCAAAGCUCACCUCCUGUUAUUUCUUCAACCAUCUUUGUAGCUUUUCUACCCAAUUGAUAUCUCAGUCGGAAAUUAUUUGGAAAGAAACCAAUUGAGCAAAUUGUCUUUGCAUGACAAUCAUCAUUAAUAUAACUUUUAUAUUCUUUUAUCUUCUCAUCCAUGAGCUUUAAGCAAUGUUGAACAUCAUUUUCAAUUUCUUCUCCACUCCUUAGUGCACUAUCAACUUGAUGUUGUAGUCUCACUUUAUUAUGUUCCAACUUCUCAAUGUAAGAUUCCAACUUUUUAAAUUUUUCUUUGUAAUUAAAAAAGUAACCGACUUGUCGUUUGACCACAUUUGCUGUAAUAAUAAGUGCACUUUCAGUAGCUGUAGAGACAACUGGAUCCAUGGUCCCUAGUUAAUGGACGCUUUCGUCUUAACUGUUUGCUUCUUACUACUAUUAGUCCUUCUUUUUCCUAAAUAAUGCAAAAUUUCGGAUUUUAUUGAGAAAUGGAAAUAUAUAAAGAACAGAGAUGUUUAUAAAUAUUAGAAUAAUUUAUAAAUAAACCUAACAUUAAAAGGGCAUCAUAAGGUUGUUAAUGAAAAAAUGAAUGAAGUUACAGAAAAGUCACACUGAAUAGUUGAUACUCACCAAUGCACGAUAACAAAUAUUUUGAUACUUGUUUAUAAACGGGUGAAGGUAUCAUACUACAUGGAGUCGUGGAUAUCCACUAGUAAAAAUUUACAAUUAAAAUUUAAAUUAUAUUAUAUUUAGUUAAAUUUAAUCAAAAUUAAAAUUUAAUUUUAUAUUUUAUUACAUUAAAUUUGAUUAAAAUUAAAAUUUAACUUAAUUUAUAUUAUAUUUUAUAAUUUUCUUUUGCAAUUUUAUUUAGAUUUUAUUUUAAAAACUUAUAAAAUAUCUUUUUUUAAAUAUCCACGGUUAUCUACAAAUACCCAUGAGUUUUUAAAAUCAAAAGAGUAUCCAAUUGGUAAUGAAACAUGGAACGAGUUGAAUUUUUUGUUGCUAGAAUAAUAGAUAAACACUAUAUAUAUUUGUUCCAACUGGUUGUGAUCUCUAAUAGUGCUUAUUAUUGUCAAAUAAGAUUUUUUUAGCAGCAUUUUGAUUUUUCUUUUACUUAUUUUUAUUUUAAAAAAAUAGUUGUAAGAAUGGGUUCUUGACUUCAACUUAUAGCCUUCACAUAAUUUAGUUUAUUGUACUUAAUAGGGGUUUUAUAAUCUUUAUAUUUAUAUUUUUGUUAUAAAAUUACAAAGUAAGGAAAAUUUAAGUGUAAAUAUUAGUACAUUAUGAGAUAAAUUUUAAACUCUUAUUCUAUUUCUAUAUUGUGGUCCAUUUUUAACUUAGUUAAUCAGGUUUCUUUAAUAAGUGAUCUAAUUAAGUAAUAAAACUUUUAACACAAUAUUUUUAAUUAAAUAAAUAUAAAUAAUACAAGAUUAAAUACAAAUUGAUGUAAAACUAAAUAAUUUUUAUUUUAAUUUGAAAACACGGGUUGUUAAUUAUCAUCUGUUUAUCUAUACAUUCAUUGCUUUCAAAUUUGGUGAUAAGAUAUUUUAAGUUUUAAUUUGAAAACACGGGUUGUUAAGUACACUUUAUUUAAAUUCGUUUUCUCUCACUCAAGAUACUAGGAGAGAGGUCUUUAGCUCAAGAGAGUGUAAAAAAGUAUUAAUCUUUGGAAAAAAGAAAGAGAAAAAUAAUUGACAAAUUCACUUAGUCCCCUCCGUAAAAUUCUGAUUCUUGUUUCAUUCACUGUUAGAUCGAACUCAAAUAGUUGCAGCAUGUUCAUAACACACAGUUCAUUAAUUUUUGAUCGUUGAGAUCGUUAAUUAGAAGUUUGUGGUUAGAGAAACUAGUCUCUCACGGUUGCUCCCUUUUAGGUUUUUCUUUCUUUGUUAUUCAUAUUUUGAGAGCAUUAUUUUUUUGAAGUUUUUGGUCGAUUGUUGAGAUUUGUUUGUGUUUUUAAAUCUAUUAUACCCAUAUUUAAUCUUAGUUAUAUCGUACGUUCAUAUGGUCGAGCUCCACCGGUCGAGCUCCUACACUGACCUAUAGUGGGCCGAGCUCCACAAGCUCAACUCCCAGGCUGACCUCUAGUAAGCUGAGCUCACAGGUCAAUUUCCCAAGUUGAUCUCUAGUAGGCUGAGCUCCACAUCAGUCUGAGCUCCACAAGUCGACCUCGUAGGUCAACCACCAGUAGGUUGACCUCCACAUGUUGAGUUCCCAAGUUAACCUAUAACGCGCCAAGCUCCACAGGUCGAGUUCCCAAGCCGACCUCUUCUAGGCCAACCUCCAUCAUCCUGAGCUCCCUUAGCCAACCUCUUUCAGGCCAACCUCCAUCAUACUAAGCUCUUCAAGCCACUCUUCUCAAGUUGAGCUCCUUCAAGGCUAAGCUCCUUUAGCCAAUCACUCUAAACCAACCAACUACAACACGACCGACAUGUAACAACAUAGAUCGACCGAUUACAAUAUGGUUGAUCGAUCACAACCUGGUCAAAUUAUCAGUAAUGAUAAAUUAACCUCUUAAUGCAACUUAAGGUAUGAUUGGGCCCUCAUUAGGCCGAUAAAAAGUUAAAGUCUCAUCACAGCUAUUAUAAAUAAAGGUUUAUGAUGACUUUCACAACAUGCAUAUAACAUGCAUCACUUGUUAACCGACGAUCAUCUACUAACUUUUGCAUCGGAAUACCUUCUGCAUGUACCAUCCGAGCUGACCUUGGAUGAGGCAAGAAAGAUACUAGAACCCCUUCCUCCGACAUUGGAAACGAAGCAGUUGAAAACCCGCAAACCGUCCGAUUUAGGCCAAUCACCAACCUGACCAUGGAUUACCCAAAACAUUUUUGUGUCCACUGUGGGGCUGAGCGAGCAUCCCCUUGUAGCCAUAAGGAACCGAACAUGUAUUAUAAUGGAAGAUGUCAAUCGCCCAGUCAUUCGACCCCAACAUUUUCAUUGUACUCAGUUAUAGCUUGUUGUUGGUCUCAUUCAACCUCAAUAAGAUGGCUUGCUUCAAGAUCGAGCAUCACUACCUCAACAUCGUAGUUUUAGCCAAGCCCUAUCCUUUUAUCCUUAAUCAAUGUCAACCGAACGACCUACUAUAUCACCAGGCCAAACGAUCGACUUCGUCACCAGUAUCAACCUAGUUCAGCACCUACAUGCAGUUAGCUUUAGUUCAAGUAUCAAUUGAAUGGCCAUCUCUGGCCUUGCUCAUCUUUGGUCAAGUGUGGACAACAUGGGCAUUGCUGGUCUUAAGCUCGUGGUUGUUGUUUAGUCCUCACUGAGCAAUCGUUUAGCCACAUGUGGCCUCAAAGUCUCUACUUUGUUAAACCCGAACAACAUGGUCUCGUGGUUGUUUCCAAUUUCAUUCUUAUAGAUUGUGGUCUCCAAGAGAUGUUCCUUAUUUUAAGAAGGUGAGUCAAAAAUUUUGCAUCAACUGUGGAUCAAGCUAAUGGGGACAAAGUGUCAUGGAAAUCAUAGUAGUAUAUCAAAGGCUAGUAAAAAAUAGAUGCACGGGAUUGUGGAAGAGUUUUAUACAUGUUCUAAAGUAGGUACUAGAAUUACCACCUAAGAACAGUGGGGUUCACUAUUGCAUUAGUGCAUGAAGCAGAACCAAUGUCAAUAGUUCUUAAUUGGAUAGUUUAUGUUGGGAGUGUGAAGUAAAAUGGAGGGGUUGUUAAAGAGAUAAUGUUUUGGACUGAGUGUAAUCACUGGAAUAACUAUAAGUUUAGUGGAUCUUGAAAAAGAAGAAAAUGGUAUGUUGAACCGUUCUAGUGUAAGUCUUGGCUAAGGAAGGAGUGUCUAUUAGUAGAUAUGUUUCUAAGGAGUGGAGACAAUGUUGAGGAAAAGGAAUGCUACUAGUAUCAUUGAAAAGGGAAGUUUUGAGGGUUUUACAAGUUUAUAGUAGUUUUGAAGGAGGUUUCUUAAGGGUGGUCACUUCUUGUCACAUUUGACACGAAAGGAUCAUCCUUUUCAAUAAACAAAAGAGUAUGAAAGUAUGAGGAUCAGAGUAGUGUAGUAGAAUGGUGAUAAGUUAUGUUUCUCAUCAUUGAAAGGAACAUAAGAAGAACUAUCUUACUCAUGACUUGGUAGUUAAUGCGUUAGGGAGUUCUUUAAAGCAGUAGAUAUGUCAUCUUUAUAAGGUUAGAUAAAGGUGUUUAAUGAUCAUCAAGAGCUAAAAGUGUGGAGUUGCAAAGAGGAAGUUGGAGAGGAGACGAAUGACAUGAACUAAGCUAUGGUUUCAUGUUGUGUGGUGGCAACUCUAAAGUGAGAAAGUGUUAAUAGAUGCUUUAAACGGAAAGAAGAUUCAAGUUGUUGGUUUGAUAAUGAUAGAGUAAGAGUUGGUGCAAAAGUAUAAGGAUUGGACCCUAAAGUGCAGUUGUGAGGAGAUUUCAUUAGUACAAUUGAUAUAACUGGUGAGUUUCUCAAAAUGAUUAGGGAAAAGGCAGAUCAGACAAUCAUAGUUUGAGAUGUAUCAUAAAAUUGUUACAUACUGAUCAAGCUUAUGAUUUCAAGUUGAGAAUGAUGCAUUUUUAAAGAUGGUUACAGGCUAGUGGGUUAAGAAGUGUAGAUGGAGUACUAGAUUUAGUUUUGUCAUUGCAACAGUUGCGAGGUCUACUUUGGAAAUGGGACAACAUUGUUAUGGACUUUGCUACCCUCUGGCCAAUGUCAGUAAAGCAAUCAUGAUGUUAUAAAGGUGGUUGUGGAUAAGAUCAAGAUUGUUAAUGUUUAACAGUAGAUCAGAAGUUGUGCAUGAUCAAGUCAAUUAAGUAGGAGCUUCAAAGAAGGAAUAAAAUGAUAUGAAGUGAUAACUAGCAUAUAUCAAAUCGAAACCUAAGGGUACCUUUAGAUAUUGGUGAUACCUAUAAGAGGUAAUGGAAGACAUAUGGAAAGUGAAUUCAACAUAUGGGAUAGAUAUUGGUUGGCCAGGCGUAAAGGAUCAUUCAAACUUUGGGUUUGAGGUUGAGUAUUACGUUUGGAAAAUUAUGGCUUGACCAAUCUACAUUGUAGAACAUUGUAUCAUUUGGCACAUGGGGAAAGGUUUUCGGUUAGUUAAAGUGUUGGCGACUGUAAUUCGAUCAAGUUUUAGGUGAUUGUUAUAAGAGAAAAUGAGAAGAGCAUACUUUUCUAUCUACCUUAUGAGUGCAUUUUCGAGAUCAAAAAUUUUUCUAGUUGGGAAUAAUGUAAAGCUCUAGAAAAUGACAUUUUAGAAGUGCUAGUGGUUUUGAAACAAUGAGACUAGAUUAUUUUAAUGUUAAAAGAUUUUAAUAUAAAUAAUUUUUUUAUGAACGAAUUUCAUUAUUUUAAAACACAUUAUCUCUCUAGAAACCACUUUCUAGAGUUCUCUGACUUCUUCCUAAGAGUGCUUUCUUUCCGCUUGUCUAAUCGAAGAACCCAGACCGUAGGAUUAAUCCUUGUGGUGAGCUCUUCAAUUUAGACUCAUAAGUUUCUUAGUUCGUGUAAGUCGAGUUUUAACUCUUUUUCUUAGUCUUUUCCGUUAUUAGUUGCAUGUGAGCCUUAUUUCACUUACAUGCAUCUUUUUAGCCAUUUAUAUAAGUCUCUACUUAUCAGUGUAUCUAAUUGUGUACCCUAAUCGUGCUAGUGUUAUUCCUAAGUAUAUAUAGGACAUCAUGUGAGCUUGAAGGGUUUUGGGGUUCCUUAGAACAAGUUCAUUUUCUUUUAGGUAAGGGAAACUAAUUGCAUUUGUUUUUCCGUUAUAAAUAUCUUGAAAUGUUGUUUUACAUGAUUGAGUAGUAUGAUGAUGUUUGAUUUGGUGAAUUUGAUUGUGUUGGAUGUUUUGUUAUGUUGAAUUGUCUUGGUGAGUUUUUUGUUGAUUGGAGAAUUUAGGAUCUUAUCAAUUGAGUCAAUUGGUAUGUGUCCUAACAUUAAAAGUUGUUAUUAACCACAAUAAGAAGGAAAUACCAGUUUGACCAUUUGAAAAGGUUCCAUUUUUUCUAAAUCAUAGAAUUUUGUCCUUUUUUUUUUCUAAUACAAUGUUGAGCCGUGGUAGAUCGGCAUUAGGUGUUAGCUCAUUUGGGAUUUCUGAGAGUAUUUUAGGAUCAGACCACUGAUUGCCACUUUUGAACAACUAAGUGUCGUAUAUUAUGAAUGGUAUAGCAUUGGUCAAAGUAAGGGUGUCGUAGAGUGCCCAUUUUUGCGAAUGGUGUAGCGUUAAACAGCAUCAGGGUGUCGUUGAGUAUAAUCCUUACAUUACAAGUCUGCAUCAUUUGCACUGUAGGGUGCUAGGUGCUAGAAAGUGUUGUCAAGUACAACUUGUUACAAGAAGAAUGGUGAUGCAUGCCACCUUUCAUGAAAAGAUUGACCUGGGGCGCUACCUCUAAGCACUAAUGUAUAUGUAUGAAUUAUCAUUUAAAAUAAUAAAAGCAUUAUUAUUAUUAUUAUUAAAAUAAUUAUUAUUUUUUAUUUUAUUACAAAUGAAUGUCCUGCACCUCGCACAACUGUAAAAUGUAAAAAUCUGUUAAAAUAAAUGGAAGAAUCACUCUCGUUGAAGCAACUAGGCUUAAAGAUUGUGUUGCACUGAUGUGAUCUAAGAAAAUUAGUUUUUCAAGAUGGAAAAAGUUCUUUUAACAACACUUUUUUAACAACUUUUUGACAAUGCAUACGUGGCAGCUUGUGAUUGGUCCGUUUUAAACAUUUUUUAAAACAUAAAUUCAAAUAGACCAAUAAAGUGAUGACACGUGUAUCGUUGUCAAAAAAGUUGUCAAAAUAUCAUGAUCCUUUGAAGAAUAGGUUCCUUUGUAACACAGAGUUGAAGAUGUGAACAGAUUUUAACAGAAGAAAAUAUAAUUUAAAAAAAAUUAAAAAUAUUUUAGAGGGUUCUUUUGAGAAAGAAGAUGAUGUGAAGUUUGGUGAAAUAAUUGUGAAAGCCUUGUAAUUAAGAAAAGUUGAAGAAGUUAAAUAAUGAAAAAGGAAGGAAGAGAGAUGUGCGAACUCAAAAUAAUGUGAAUAAAAGAAGACUUACAGAUUGUGUUGCACUGAGCUUAUCUAAGAAAAUCAGUUUCUGCAGAGAGGAUGAGAGUUGGUAGUUUGAAGAGUAAUGUUCUUUCUAACACACAGAGUUGAAGAUGUGAAUCAGAUUUUAACAGAAGAAAGACGGUGUUGGUAGUUGGAGCUGAUGUUCUAAGAAAAUGAGGUUUUGAAGAGGAUGAGACUGAAAUAGGAUUGGUAGCUUCUUUCUAACUCUCACACAUUCAACAAUGUGAACCAGUAUGAGUGAGUGUUGUUACUUUAAGGAAUAAAGAAAUGAAGAUGAAUUUAGGGCUAGCUGUACAUGUGAGUCCCACUGAUUUAUGGUGAUAUAAAAAAUGAACACAGAUACAGAGAGAAGAAGGAACAAUGGAAAAGAGUGCUGUGAUCUAAGAAAAUCAGUUUUUGAAGAGUAUGGUUCUUUCUAACAUACACAAUUGAAGAUGUCAAUCAGAUUUUAGAAGAAGAAAGAGCGUUAGUGUCCUUCUACAAGGAGUAAAUAAAGAUGAAUAUAUGAUUGUUGCGGCUCUUCUGAUUUAUUGUUGUUCUCAUUUAAAAAAGUCCUGUUGUCACACUCGGUAAAUUGUGGAUAUUUAUCAAAUUUUGUAUUUUUUAUUUUAAAUAAAAGUAUUUCUACAUUAUUUUUAAAAUAUAAUCUGAAAUAAAAAAAAUUUUAUCUUAAAAAUAUAAUCUAAAUAAAUAAUGUAAUAAAAUAUUAAUAUAGGUAAAAUUAAUUUGAAAAAAAUAAACUUAAAUUAGUUGCACUAUAAAAAUAUAAAUAUAAAUAAAAUUAUUUUUUUUCAAAAAUAAUUUAAUUAGUAAAAAUAAAAGAAUAUAAAUUUAUAACAUGUUCAACUCUGAAUAAUUCUUAUAUUAUAAAUUUUUUUAAACAAAUUUAUUUUAAUCAAUUAAUUUUAAGAGACGGGUGGUUUAUAUUUACAUGUAUCUACAAGUAAAUAAAUUUGUAUUUUUCCUUUAUGAAACGGAUAAUUAAAACACAAUAUAUAAUAUGUAUCUAAUAGUAAUAAUUGCUUUAUGUAUAUGUUAUAGAUUUAAAAUGAAAAAUUUAGAAACAUUAUAAGUGUGCAAUGUUUUGAAUCAGUAUUUUUUAAAUAUUUAUACUGUAUUAUAAGUUAGUAAAAUUAAUAUAUAAGAGACUAAUAAUAAGAAUAUUAAAAAGUAAUUUAAUGUUAGUAGUAAAAAUCACAAAUAUAAUAUAAUAUAGAAAUAAAAAAUAUUGUGAUAUUUUUAUACAAAAUAUUUCAAAAUAAAAAUUAUUACGAAAGAAUUACUUAAAAUUAUAUUUUAAAAAUAAUAAAUUAAUAAAUAUAUUAUAAAAAAAUAAAAUAGGAAAAAAAUUGUAUAUAGAUAUCUAAAAUAAAAAAAAAUAUUACAAUAAUCUAAAAAUAAUUCAAAUAAUUUUUAAGUUUCUUUCAAAUUUAAUUAAUUUUUAAUUAAACUUCUUUUAAAAAAUUUUUUUAUUAAAUGUUCAAAAAUUUACCUGUUUAAUUUUGUUCUUUAUUAAGAAUAAGUUAUUAUUGUUUUACAUAGUCAUUAUUAAUGUAUAUUUAUGUAAAACUAAAAAAUAAUAAUAUAAUCAAACUUUUAAAUGUUUCAUGAAUUUAUAUAUUUUUAAGCAAAAUCGUAAUUAUAUUUGCUGUUUUGUUUAAUAUUUAAAAAUCUUUAUAAUUUUUAAUUGAACUCCUAUCAUUAUAACAAUUUGAUUUUGCAAUAUCAAACAUAACCACAAACUUAAAAGAUAUAAAAAAUGUUUGGUUAUGCUUUUAAGCUUUCAAUAAAUUUGACUUUAAGUCAUUAGUUUUUUUUUUUUUAAUUGAACGCUUAAAAUUUUUAUAUUUUUUAGUUAUUUCUCUUACAUUUGAUUUUAGUUGAAACUAAUUUGACGUGAUCUUGUAUCAUUAUUAUUUAAAUCUUUCUAUGUAAAAAAUGACAUAACUAAGUUUUAAAUUCUUAAUGAAUUUGAGUAUUUUCAAUGGAUUUCCUACACUAAAAUUUUUUAUUCUAUAUCCACAAUCUUUAUAUUCUUCAAUCCAAUUCUUACCCCAAUUAUAGGAUCAUCAUUAGUGAAGAAAAAAGAUAAUGUUUUCUAUGAUUGGUACCGAUUUUACAACUCAAAUAUAUUAAGAUGAAAUAUAAAAUAAAGGAUUUUUUUUUUGUCUAUGAACUAAAACAAAAAUAGUCUACGUUUUGUUUUAGUUAUAAAAAAUAAAAAUAAAUUAAAUUUUUAAAUAAUAGAAAAAUAAAAAUAAAAGAAAAAUUAAAUUUUUAACCACUAUUCCACAAACAACCAAGACAAGAUUUUAUUUAAUUUAAUAUAAUCAUUUAAUUUUAAGGGUAUAUAGCAAUGAUUGUGACAAGAAUCACUUUAUAGACCCUUUUAUGCUUCCAUUAUAAAAAUAACUAAGACCCAUAUUUAGCUUUGAUUACAGCAUGAAUUGAAAUUGAAUUUGGUUUUGCCUAUAAAUGAAGCCUAACAUUGGCGGUUUUUUUUUUAAUUAUUUUUCUUGUUUUUAUUUAAUCUUAUAUAUAUAUAAAAUUCAACAUAGAAACUGAAUAUGAUUUUCAAACAGCAAUAAUGAUUAAUUUUCUUAAACUAUCCUGAUAAUUCGAUAUUCAAUACUUAUAAAUUAUUAUUAUUGUUUUUUCUUAUAUUAAUUUUUUUUAAAAAUACAUUAUUCUAAAAGCUUGGAGACCUUGUAUUGAAUUUUAAACAAAAAAUAUUAAGGUUGACUCAGUACAAUAUAUUUAAGCAUAUAAUUAAUCAUAUAUCUAACAUAUAAAAAAUAAAUAACAUACUAGAAAAUUAUAGGUUCAUAUUAAAAAUAAAUUUUCAAGAUAAUAAUAGGAACCUGGAAGUGUGAAAGUCGAACAAUAAUGAAGAAGGAUGGAUACCACGUUUUGGAGAAAUAUUAAUAAUCUCACUAUAAUGCUACAAUACCAAGACACAAAUAUUAACAACAUAUUAAUUUGAGAAACUAACGCAAACACAAAAUCCCAAAAACAAAAUGACAACAAUCGUGCUUACCACAACAAUGAAGAGGAAUGAAGAGCGACGACGACAUUGAGCAACGAAAGUAAUGCGAUGGCAACAACGAGGUGCGGAGCAAUGAUAGCGGCUAACAGUGGCCUUCGAAUUCAGAGGUGCAAGGAGUCAAGCAGUGGACGAUGACACUAAAGGAAGGAAGAAAAAAACUAUGAAAUGAUAACCUGUGUUUCUUUUGCAAAUUUAACCCUAGACAGAGACAUAUAGCCGCGGUUAUUUAUAAAACCAAUGCCUAAAAACUUUUAAUAAAAUUAAAAGUUAUAAAUUUCAGUGUCAAUUUUGAAUUUUGAUCAACCAUUUGCUCUGUUUUAAAAAGUAGAUAUGAUAUUAAUUGUUCAAAUAAUUGACACCAUAUGUCCUUCUCAAAAUAAAAAAACAAAAAAAAAAAGUGACAAUUUUGAAAUAUUGAUCAACUUAUUGGCUUCGCUUGUCCAAGGAAUCGUUGCAGUAUGUAAAUAUAACAUCGGUUAUUCAAAUAACAAAUGUCACGCGUCCUUCUCAAAAAAGAAAAAUGACAAUUUUGAAUUUUUCAUCAACCGGUCUUAGUUGUCCAGAAAACUCUAGAAGAAAGUGGAUAAGACUGCGGUUGUUCAAAUAACUGAAGUCACAUAAGUCCUGCUAAAAAAUAAAUAAAAAAAUAGUAAAAGUUUUGAAAAUUUUGAUUCAUUUUUUGGCUUCAGGUGUUUCUCUGAAAAUAUAUAAAUAAGAAAGAUGAUUUUUGAAAUUUUUUGACACCUUUAGUCUUCAGUUAACUGAUGCUAAAAAUGGUAUAUGCUUUCAUUAUUUUGUAACCAAAAUUUAUAAAUUUGCAAAAUUUUAAAAGACGACACGGUAUUGUGAUAUAUUUCGGUUUCUUCAAGAUCAAGACAUAUUACUCGAGUUAAUAUGUGAAAUUUUCACUAGUGGAUGAAUGGUACUUGAUUUUAUAAAUUUCAAACACAAUUAAAAAAAAUUGGAUAGAAAACAAAACUCUAUAACCUUAUCUAUUUUUACUAAAUAUUCUUUAGUGUCUCCAAGUGGUUAGUUUAAUUUUUCAUUCAAUCUUCAAUUUUAAAAAAAAUAAAGUGAUUAAAUUUAUAAUAAUUAAGUUCUAUUUUAUUGUUCGAGUUGGUGUUGCAGUUGAGAGUGCAUAAUCAAACAAUACAUAUCUUCACUUGAUAAUAAAAUCAGAUGACAAAAAAUAAAUAAUAAAAAUUUAAUCGAUAUAUAUAAAAGUUUUGGAUGUUAACAGAGAUUUAGUUAAAAUACAUAAUUCUGAAUUUAGAUUUAAUAUUAUUUUUUACUUUUCAGAAGAUAAGUAAUGAUACGAGACAACAACUAUUACUUGGUUUACACCAAAACAAAGAAUAAAAAAAACCUCAAUUCAAAAAUAUAAAUAUAAAUAUAUUAUGUAGAUAAAUACGAGGAAUAGAAAACUAUGAUAAAGCCAAUAUAUAUAUAUAUAUAUAUAAGAAAAACAAUAAAAGAGUAAGAUAUUUUACCUCACUGGUUCCACUGCUGAACGUGGUUUGCAGCGCAGUUGGUUCAUUCAGCCAUGGAGGUCCAUCGCAUCUUUAGGUCUCAUGUCAGCUACGAAAUUAACAAAACUGUAACAGUAGCCUGCAAAUUUGUAUAUAGAAGUGUGAAGGGAGAUUUUCUUUUUUCCUUUUGUUUUUUCAACAAACUAAAGUGAUUAAGUAAGAGAACGUAGGAUAUAGGGAUUGGUUAUGUAGGGUUUCAUGAAGGUGGCUGUUUGAAGCAUGAUAGGCAAAAUGGUGACUGAGUGUGUGAAGCAAAGAUGAGAAUGCAGAAAGGGUAUGAGGAGUUAACAUUGAGGUUCAAUCUGAGAGGAAAAAUGAGGAUUGGUUAGUGUUUUGAUGAAUCUGAUGCAAAAGGAAAUAACGUGUAGUCGCAUGUGUUUGUGUUCUGAAAUUCAAAAGAGAGAGAAGAAAGAAUCCAUAAACAAAUCUCUCUACACGUCUAUCUCUGUUUUCAUUAAGAGGCUGUCUUGUUUGAUCCAAAGAAAACAUAAAAAAAUCUUUUGAGAAAGAGAAAAUGGUUCCAAACGUGGUGGCAACACCUGAAUUAUUUAUUUCUGUUACCUUUUUUUAUGUAUUAUUUUAUUUUUCAUGUGUUUUUGUCUUUAUUAUAAUAUCCAUUGUUCUGAUUGCAAAUCUAUAAUUUUGUCUUCAUUGACUUUUCCAUACUUCUUAAUUCUCUUUUUAUCGAUUUAACUAUAGAUUUUCGAAUAAUUACACAAAUGAUCAUACAAACUUAUAAAAUUUAACUUUUCAUAAUCUAAAAAAAAUUAAAAAAAUAACAAGUUGUAUUUGAAACUUCAAAUUUAAUUAAAGUUAAAAUUAAAAGAAAACUUGUAGACAAUAAAUAAGUUAUGGACAACAUCAACUUGAUUUUAGCUCUAAUUAUAAUAAAUAAAAACCCGAGAAAGGAAUAGAACUUUAAAAAAUGAAGAAAUUAAAAUCAUGGUAAUUAUAACCCACUCUACAACAUUUCCGUUGACGUUAAAAAAACUCGAGUGUUAUAACCAAAAGUAUUAGGCUGGCAGCAGUUGUCACACCCAAUUAUUGUUCUUUUUUAUAUAAUUUUUAAUUUCUAUACAUCAUGGUUCAGCAUUGUCUAUCUCUGUAUUUAUUGUCACCAUAACUAAACCUAGGUCAGAUUCAGGCGCGUUUAGACUAAAAAAACAUAAUCUUUUUAGGUCAUAUCUAACAGUUUAGAUUUCAAUUCAUGGCGAUUUCGAGUUGAGUUAGAUGUGAGUUAGCUGACGCCAUUAUUAGAUAUAAGUUGAGGACAAAUCUAAAACUUCCUUACACGCAUGCAUCACGUCUUUAAAUUGGUUUUAAGGAUCUAAAAAUUUGGUUUAAUAAACUUUCUUUAAAUAUACUACCAUUUGAAGCAUAAUCGAUCGGAAUAACUUUUAGCAGCACCAUGAACAUUAUUCUUUAAUCAGCUAACAUUAGGCUUAAAGCAAUAUCCUCAUUUAACUCUAGUACUUUUAAAAUUUUUGGUUUCAAAAUUGAAAAACUUUAAAAAGCAAAAGUCAAUACCAUUAUAAAUAUUCUUUUAUUUUGUCAUAUGAAUAUUUCAUUAAACAAAAUGAAACACCAACUGAAAGAGGUUAGAAAUUUUAAUCUCAUGGUUUUUAACUUUUCAAAUGAUUCUAUUAGCAUAAGUGAUACAAGCCUAAUGUUACAAAUCAUAGGUGUACUAUAUGAAAUAUACCGAUCGAAAUUAAUGGUCAUUUAUGGAUAAUUAUCAUAUAUUAAUGGGUCAGAUUGUCUUAAACUUUACAAAUAUAUGUAUUAAUAAUUAGUUAUUGAGUUUGAUUGCCUAAAAAUAUACUAUAGGUUAAUCAAUGGACUUGGUUGCCACAAGUCCUAUAAAUAUACAAUUAAUGUUGAGGUACAAUCAUUUUUUUAUGUAAUAAAAUAGUGACUUCUUUAUGAAACAUAUCUUACUUGAACGUCAGAGUGUCUUCUGCAGGUCAACAACCUAUCGGAAUAGAUUGAGUUCUCGGAGAGGAUUGAAGAUCAAAAGAUCGGAGUAGAUUGAGUUCAUAGAGAGGAUUGAAGAUUAAAAGAGAGCAUAGCAAGGAAGGACAACCGACCCUCGGACAAAUGCAACCGAAACAUUUUGACUCCCACCGUGGGGCCGAUCGACAUCCCCAUGAAGCCACGAAGAACCAGACGCACGCUCAGUCUCGACAUUGCUACUUCGGAUCAACACCAGAUUUUGCAACAAGAGUGAAAAGUUCAGUAAUAAUUUCUAAAGGCAUGUUUUUUGUUUUGAGAACUUUUAGGAAGGUCCAAACCUACGUUCAACCUUGACAGGUUCCACAUUUCAUUAUAAUUUAUAAACUAUAAUAUAUUUGUUUAACUCAUUUUUGUGUGUAAAAAUGUACUGCACAGAAAGGUUCAGUCAUACGUUCAACCUUGGCAGGUUCAACUUUUAAUUAUAAUAUAUUUGUUCAACUCAUAUUUUUGUGAGUAAAAAUAUUUUGUACAAGAAGGUUCAGUCCUACGGUCAACCUUGGCAGGUUCAACUUUUCCUUAUAAUUUAUAAUUUAUAAUAUAUUUGUUUAACUCAUAUUUUUGUGAGUAAAAAUAUCCUGCACAAGAAGAUUCAGUCCUACCUUCAACCUUGGCAGGUUCCACUUUUCAUUAUAUUUUAUAAAUUAUAAUAUAUUUGUUUAACUCAUAUUUUUUGAGUAAAAAUAUCCAGGAAUGUUCAAUCAUACAUUCAAUAUUGGCAGGUUCAACUUUUCAAAAUAAUUUAUAAAUUAUAAUAUAUUAUUGUGAGAAAAUAUUCUGCACAGGAAGAUUCAGUCCUACGUUCAAUCUUGGUAGGUUCCACUUUUCAUUGUAAUUUAUAAAUUAUAAUAUAUUUAUUCAACUCAUAUUUUUUAGAGUAAAAAUAUUCUACACAGGAAGGUUCAGUUCUACAUUUAACCUUGAUAGGUUCAACUUUUCGUUAUAAUUUAUAAAUUAUAAUAUAUUUUUUUAACUCAUAUUUUUGUGAGUAAAAAUAUCCUGUAAAGGAAGGUUCAAUCCAACGUUCAACCUUGGCAGGUUCCAACUUUCAUUAUAACUUAUAAAUUAUAAUAUAUUUGUUUAACUCAUAUUUUUUGUGAGUAAAAAUAUUCUGCACAAGAAGGUUCAGUCCUAUGCUCAAUCUUGGCAGGUUCCACUUUUCAUUAUAAUUUAUAAAUUAUAAUAUAUUUGUUUAACUCGUAUUAUUGUGAGAAAAAAAUAUUCUGCACAGGAAGGUUUAGUCGUACGUUCAAUCUUGGCAGGUUCCACUUUUCAUUGUAAUUUAUAAAUUAUAAUAUAUUUAUUCAACUCAUAUUUUUGUGAGUAAACCUAUUCUCCACAGGAAGGUUCAAUCCUAGGUUUAACCUCGUUUAACCUUGACGGGUUCAACUUUUCAUUACAAUUUAUAAAUUAUAAUAUAUUUGUUUAAAUCGCAUUUUUGUGAGUAAAAAUAUAUUGCACAGAAAGAUUUAGUCAUACGUUCAACCUUGACAUGUUCCACUUUUCAUUAUAAUUUAUAAUAUAUUUGUUUAAUUCAUUAUUUUGUGAGUAAAAGUAUUAUUUAUAGCGAGGUUCAGUCCUACGUUCAACCUUGACAACUUCCACUUUUCAUUAUACUUUGUAAAUUAUAAUAUAUUUGUUCAACUCAUAUUUAUGUGAGUAAAAAUGUCUCACACAGGAAGGUUCGCACCUACGUUCAACCUUAUCAUGUUCUAAUGUUAUCUCAUUAUAAAAUAAAAUGUUGAAUAUUUUAUUUAAGACUUAUUUUCUGAGUAAAAAUAUCUCGCACAGGAAGGUUCACACCUACGUUUAACCUUAUCAUCAUCUAAUGUUAUCUCAUUAUAAAAAUAAAAUGUUAAAUAUUUUAUUGAACGCAUAUUUUUGUGAGUAAACAUAUCUUGUAAGGAAGAUUCAAUCCCCUAAAACUUGUUGUUCAACAUAGGAAGUUAGAAAAAUAACUCCUGCCUUCAGCCACUCGAGGGAUGUCCGAAAAAGGGCUUCAGAAAUCCCUGCUCAACGCAAGAAGUUAGAAAAAUAACUCCUACCUUCAACCGCUCGGGGGGAAGUCCGAAAAAUGCUUCAGAAAUCCUCGCUCAACGUAAGAAGUUAGAAAAAUAAUUAUGCCUUCAGCCGCUCGGGGGAUGUCCAAAAAAGGGCUUUAGAAAUCCUCGCUCAACGUAGGAAGUUAGAAAAAUAACUCUUGCCUUCAGCCUAGAGUUGUCAAAACGGGUAACCUGACCUGACUUCGCCCGACCCACCACGGGUUGGUCACUUAGUGAGCCAACCCAACCUGACUCGUUUAUUAGCGAGCUAGAAAAGUUCGAACCCGCCUCGACUCACCACAGAUUGGUGGGUAAACGGGUUGGCUCGCUGGCUCACUUAAUUACAAUUGCUUUUAAAUAAAAAAAUUACAAACUUUCUAUAAUUCAAAUCUUAACAAAUUUCACUCCCAACAUGUUUGUUUAAUUAAUUUUGAAAAUAGGAAACUUAAAUAACUUUUUUCAAGCAAAAAAAAAUAAUAAAUAUCUUUUUUGUAAAAUUAAAAUUAAAUUUUAAUAAAAUAAAAUUAGGUAGGUGGGUUGGUGUGCCAACCCGGCCCACCAUGGGUUCAACUCGCAUGCACCGGGUUUAAAUGAGUCGGGUUAAAUCUGACCCGCAUAAAAAAAAUACAAGUUUUUCAAACCCAACUCGACCGGAACCCGUGGUGGGCCGGGUUGGCCCGCGGGUUGUGACCCAUUUUGACAACUCUACUUCAGGCGCUCGGAGGGAAGUCUGAAAAAGGGCUUCAGAAAUCCCCGCUCAACGUAGGAAGUUAGAAAAAUAACUCCUGCCUUUAGCCGCUUGGGGGAAGACCGAAAAAAGGGCUUCAAAAAUCCCCGCUUAACGCAGGAAGAUAGAAAAAUAACUCCUGCCUUAAGCCGCUCGGAGGGAAGUUCGAAAAAGGGUUUCAGAAAUCCCCGCUCAUUGUAUGAAGUUAGAAAAAUAACUCAUGCCUUCAGCCGCUCGGAGCGAAGUCUGAAAAAGGGCUUCAGAAAUCUCCGCUCAAAGCAGGAAGUUAGAAAAAUAACUCUUGCCUUUAGCUGCUCGGGGGGAAGUCCGAAAAAGGCUUCAGAAAUCUCCGCUCAACGCAGGAAGUUAGAAAAAUAACUCUUGCUUUCAACUGCUCGGGGGAAGUCUGAAAAAGGGCCAUAGGAAGUUAGUAAAAUAACUCCUGCCUUCAACCGCUCGGGGGGAAAUUCGAAAAAGGACUUCAGAAAUCCCCGCUCAACGUAGGAAGUUUGAACAAGAAUUCUUAUCAGUCGACUACGCAAGAGGUUCAACUUUGUCAAGUUCCAAUGUCUUUUCAUCAUAAAAAUAAAUUAUAAAAUAUUGAAGCUUUUACUUUAUUUUAUUUAAACACAUGUUUUUUGGAGUGAAUAUUUCUUGCACAGGAAAAAGUUCCAAAGAGAACUCCUAGAGUUCGCCACUCAGUAUAAGGAGCAAUGAAGACUUAAAGCGCAUCGAAGAUAGACUCCCUAAAUACAGUGUGAUCAACCUCUUUUAAAGCUCAUAAUAAUCCCUGCGCACCUCUUCUGAAUAAAAGAGUUUGCUUGGGCUUUGGGGGCUUAUGUACUAUAUGAAAUAUACCGAUCAGAGUUAAUGGUCAUUCAUGGGCAAUUUUCAGGUACUAAUGGGUUAUAAUGAUAUAUUUUACCAUGAGUUCAGUAUUGAAUUGAGAGAAAAUGUCAACUCUUUCUUAGCUUUGUACCUUCUGUAUGCCUCAAUUUCUUAAGUUUAUAAGUAGGUACAUCUUGAGUUGAAUUGAUUUAAAUUUCAUCAUUAAUCCCCACUUUUUGGUUGUUAUAUCAUGUAUAUCAAGCUUGUUGGCCAAUCCGAAGAAUGGAAGAAACACACAAGUAAGAAUGAAUGUAAAAGAGGAAAUAUUGAGCAAAGAUUAAUGCUGCCGCCGGGGUGCAUCUGGGGUGCAGCCGAGCCUCAUUCUUCUCUGGAAUGUUGUACCUAGGGUGCAGCUGAGCACCCUGCUCUCUGAAAGGCUGCCGAUGGGCUAUAGCUGAGCAGUGGCGACGCUGACGUGGCAAAUUUAGUCUAUUUAGGGCUGAAACGCGAAGGGAUUUGGAUCUUUGCUACCCAGACGCAUUUCCUCUCAUUUGGAGCUCUUGGAGGCAAGCUAGGAGCUGUGGGAACCUUCUUAAUCCUUGGGUCUUCUUCCUUCUUCCAUUUCCACCAUUGUUGUAAGCUUGAGCUCUCCAUUAAUGGAGAGCUAGUUUCAUUAUUGUUGGGGAUUGAUGUAACCACGAAUCUCUUAUGUAAAUUACUAUGUUUUGAAUGAAUAUAAGCCUCUUUCAUUGAUUGUUAGUGUUUAAUUCCUUCUUUUAAUGCUUAUUGUGAAGUUGCUACCCAUGACAUGAUUUUAGGGUUUGCUUGAUAUUGGGAAAUGUUGGGUAAAUUUGGACUUGGAUUAAACACCUAAAGGAAAUAAUAUCUAGGGAUAAAAUUAGGACCUUUGGUUGUCUUAAAUCUCAAUUCUUAAUGCAGAAAUAAUUUUUAGGUUUUCCAAGGGAUUGGAGCCUAAUGAAGAAGUCUAGGCUCUCUCUACCAAGGGAUUAGGGUUCGAGUAAAUUAGUAGAUUGACAUUGACAUAUUAACGAAGAGGAAGUGAUUUUCUAUACAUAAGAGUGAAGUAGGUGAAAUCAUACCUCCAACAAUACCAUUCCAUAUCAUUUAUAAUCUUUCCAUUUCCAAGUGUUUGAGUACCUAAGAUCACUUUUAUCAUUCAUGUUUCAUAGUUACUUCAAUUGCACCAAAACUCAAUUUAAGGAAGCAUUCUUUAGUCUAGGUUAGUUCGAAAUUAUAUGAUUGUCUAGUGAAAUGAGUCUCUUGGAAAACGAUAUAUGGUCUUACCGAUUUUAUUACUUGAAUGAUUUGAUACACUUGCGAAAGUCUCAACAAUGGGUCAGAUUGCCUUACGCUUUACAAAUAUACAAUAUUAAUAAUUAAUUAUUGGGUUUGAUUGCCUAAAAAUAUACUGCUCUAAUGGUUCAUCAAUGGACUUGACUGUCACAAGCCCUAUAAAUAUACAAUUAAUGUCCAGGUACAAUCAUAUUUUUUUGUCAUAAUAAAAUAGUGACCUCUUUAUGAAACAUAUCUGACUUGAGCGUCAGAGUGUCUUCUGUAGGUCAACAACCUAUCAGAGUAGAUUGAGUUCUCGAAGAGGAUUGAAGAUCAAAAGAGAGCAUAGCAAGGAAGGACGACCAACCCUCAGACAAAUGUAACCGAAACAAUAGGUUUUCAACAAAUCAUUAAAAGACUAACAUUUUGAGCCUAACCAUUCAUUUACAUAAAUACCCAUAGCAACCUCAUGCCUAGAUUUCUAUUAAAGUGUAAUGCAAAUUCUAGAAGAAUGUAGAAGCUCCUAAGAAAAAAAAGGGUUGGAAUGUAAAUUGGGCCUAUAAGAUAAAAACCCAAAACUAGAGAUUGUCCAAGACUAAAGAAGGUCUAAAAUAGAAUUCUCGAAAAAUUCUAUCUAAAAGGAUUCUAGAAUGAUGUAUACAAAUAUCUAGGAAUGCUUAUCCAUAAGAUGUCUCUAGAUAAGUUUAGAAUUAUAAGAAUGUCUUAAAAAAUUCUAGAGAAUGAAUAAUAACCCUUAGAUUAAUGUUAUGGUGGCAAGAUCUUAACCAUUGGUUGAGGAGGUGCCACUAGUAUAAAUAGGGGUGAUUAGAUCAUUUGUGAACAAACCAAAAGAAACAAAGCAAGCCAACAUCUACCACAACUAAAGACAUCUACAACACUUCUCCCAACUAUUACUUUCACAUUUUCUCUACAUUCUACUAUCUCUACAUUUUCUUUACCCCAUCAACUAUUCCUUUCAUAAUCUCAAAAUACUAACAAUUUCAUAGUCAGAUUUUAUAGGCCAGCAGCAUUCACUUUAGAAAUUGAUUUUUAAGCCUUAUAAAAUUUUAGUUGUACUUUUGUUCUCUGACCCAGUAAUUAUGGGGUGAUAUCACAUAAGACUGUAUAUAGGAUAUCUGAGCACGCAAGUUGGUGCUGAUGCUGAUGUAUCUAUACUAAGCAGGUAACAUCCAAGCGCAUUUGAGCUAAGUUUUCAUCUGUGUAUCAGAACAAAACUGAUAUUUAUGUUAUGGAUAAGUUGCUUCAGACAGAACAUAGCAUAUACAUUAAUGAUGAGAAGAAGGAACGCAGAAAAAAGUUUAUACGUGCAAUGAAAUUUAGGAAAGAGAUUUGUAAGAAAUGAAGAUGUUGGUUAUCCAAAUACGUUCAUGUGAAUUCCCAAACAUGUCCUUGCGAAAUUGUCAUAGCACUGUCGUCCUUUUUAAGUGAUAAUUGCACAAAGUUUGGAAAAAUCUAGCAAUUGCAUGCAGACUUUUGAACCUCUAGGUGGAAAAAAUAAUUAACUUGAAGACCUUGUGUGGUGAUGAAGUUUGUGUAGAGUUUGGCAUCUUUGGUUCUGUUGAAGUGUGAAGUGUGGAGGAACAAACACUCUGAUAUGGUUGUAGGGUGGCUUUGUUGGCUACUGUCUCAUCUCCCUUUGCUUCUUUCCAAAUACUCUUUUCAUAACCUAUUCCUUUGCUUGUAGAACGAGGCAAGUCUUCCAAGUAUGCUUUUUCCUGAUAAACAAAAUUAAUUUCCCAAUUUAAUUGGGAUGUUAGAGUUUCAUAUGGCAAUAAAUAAAUAAAUAAAUAAAACAAAACUUUUGAGAGGGGAAAAAGGAGUGUAAUAUAUGUUUUUAAUUCUUAUUUUAAGCAAAAUAUUAAAAGUAUAUUAAAAUCUUUGCUUAAUAUAAAAUCAUAAAUUAACUCUUGUUCCAAAAAUACUAUUCCAUUCCAUCACCAACAUGCCCAUUUGAAGAUAAUAAAUUUACUAAAAUAUACAAACAAGAUUAAUUUGUAAUUUUAAUUCUGUGAUUUAAUUUUUUAUUCACGAUUUUUUUUCCAUUAUAUAAAGAUUUAGUUUCUGGAUUUUAUAUAUAAAGUUUAUAGUUUUUGAUCAUUUUUUUUUUAUUUCGAAAAUGUUUACUGUAUAUUACUGCAUUUUGAACGCAUAGAUAAUAUUUUUUUUUAAAUACCACCAAGUUUAGUUACUUUAAAUGUAAAAAUAAAAUAGAUAAAUCUAUGUAAAAUUGAAUAUUUGAUAAAAAAAUUCAAACUUUUAAAAUAGUAAAAAUAAAUAAAAUAAGAUGACCAAAAAAAACUAUAAUUUUGGGGGAUUUUGGUUUUACUCUCUCUUUUAAAUUAAGGUACAAUUUAGUCUUUCAACUUUAGAAAACUCUGGUUUUAGUUCUUUUUACCAAAUUUUUUAACUUUAUUGAUUGUUUCAAAUGCGUUUCAUUAUAGCAUUUGGAUUGUUUAGAUAGACUAAAACUAAAAUCAUUCCAAAGUAUAGGGACUAAAAACAUAUUUAACCCUACAAAAUAUGAAAAAGUUGAAUUUAGAUAAUAAAUUCCUCACCUGUGUUUGAAGCUGGAAGAUCAUUAUGCAGGAACAAAUCGGAAUCCUCCAAUGAUGUUUCAAUCGACAAAAUUCUUGGCACAUUUAGGACUCUUUCAGCGAAAGUUUUCAUAUUGGGGCAAUCAAUUACAGUUGCGUUUCUUAAAUAUGAAAAUUGCAGAGUGACAUUCCCCGAUAUGAAGCUUUGUAGUCGAGGUAAGGAAUACAACCUUAAUGUUGUGAGUUUUCCAAAUAUGAUCUUAUCACAACCAUCUUCAUCUUCUAUAUUUGCUAUUUCUUUUAUUGAUUCACAAUUUUUUAUAAUUAGGGUCUCAAGUUUCACCAAACAUUUUGCAGUUGAAAAUGUGAACAAAUACUCCAUUCGAUCACAGUCCUUCACAUACAACUCUUUCAGAUUCAAGAAAGACAUUGCAUGACACCCUAAUUUUUGCAACAUAGGACAAUUGACAACCCUUAAUGUUUGAAGCUUUUCAGAGUAUGGACUUACCCAUGGGUGCUCAAACCCUAUUGACUCAAGCUCAUUUAGUUCAAACAGGGUUAAUCCCUUCAAUGAAGCAGGAAUUCCAUCAUGAACUUGCAAUUUCUGAGAGGGAAAUAUCUCCUUCACACCAAAGCAUCUCUGCACUCGAAGAUGUUCUAAAUUGAGUACCUUGUUCAUGAAUUCAAAAGGCAAACUAUCUUUCUCAUUUUUAUCAUCCUCAAAGCAUAGUCGGAGAAGAUUUAAAUUGGUAAGGUUGACUUCUGGUACAUGUUCAUCGCUCAACAACAUCAUGUUUUUCUCAUUGAGUGUCAAACCCCUAAGUUUGGGAGCAACCUAGAUUCAAGCCAAACCAAUUCAAAAGAAAACGCACGGUGGAAGUUAGAAGGAAGAAAGUUGGGAAAUGAACAUUGAAAAGAAAAACAAACACAAAUAUUGGAAAAUAUACAAUGAAAAGGAGGAAAAUAGUUAAUGUUGUCACCUUUUCAACCAUGAACAGAGGUUGUUGUUGUAGCCAGUUUAUUGGAGCCUCCGCAACUGUUUGUCUGUGACUGUCAUGAAUUUUUGAUUUGAAUAGAUUCAACUUGGGACAGUAAGCCACAUGCAAGAUUUCUAACUGGGGACAUUCUAGAUGGUGUUUUCCAGGAUAAAAGCAACUCAGAUCUGUUAGGUUAUAAAGAGUUAGUGAAGACAAACACGGGAACUCAAACACAAAUGUUUCAGUUGUUGCAUCUUCAUUGCCAACAAUUUCUACCAACUUGUCACACUUCUGCAUUUCAAGUGUCUGAAGCUUCCUCGCAAACAAUGUUACCAAACUUCCACAACCAUCAAUGAACAGUUCUUGCAAAUUGGGAAAGCUGACACUUCCUUGGAGAUUUUUGUUCAAUAUACAUUUCAAAUUUGACAAGUCUUUUAAAGUAAGUUUUUUCAUGUGAAAGACUGUUUCUUUACUCUUGGCCCUGCUAUUAUGAUCCAUACCAAAUAUUACCUGCACCUCAUCAGAGCUAUGCACAUUCAAUUCUUCCAAGCUCUUCAGGUAAGGAAGUACAUUAGAUGGAAUAACAGUGUCUCCUUUACUUGCUCCAUCAAAUUCUAAUUUCUUUAGACUGCCAAAAAAUUUGCUUGGAAAAACAUGUUUCACAGGUCCAAAUCCCCUCAUCUCAAGAUAAUCCAAUAGAAUCAUUUGCUUUGAAUAUUCGAAAAAACCCUUAAACAAAAAGUUAUGUCAGAAUAAUGGACAAGCCUCAUAUGCAUAAUUAAUUUACAUAUAUACAAUAAUUUCGUUCUAAAAAUUCAUUUUUCUGUUGUUUUUUAAUUAAACUGUGAGCUUACUUUUAAUAUAUAUAUAUUGUACAUACUUUUUAGAAUGCCGAUCAAUUAACAGAAAUUGAAGAAAGGAAAGGAUAGGAAUAAUGACAUAAGAAAUUCCUUACCUGCUCGUGGAACAAGCUUUCAACUGUCAUGUUGAGAUCCGAAUGGAAGGUUAAAUCAGAAUCCGACGAAGAUUUAAUUCCAUAAAACAUUGGCGCAUUUGUGUUUCCUUGUGAGAAAGUUUUCAUAUUGGGACAUUUAAAUAGUCUCAUUAUUUGCAAAGAUGAGAAUUGCAAAGUGUCAUUUCCUGAAUAAAAGCUGACUAGUUUUGGUAGGGAAUAUAACCAUAGUUUUGUGAGCCGUCCAAAUAUGAUUUCAUCAUAACCAUUUUCAUCUUCUUUUUCUAUUAUCUCUUUCAUUGACUCACAAUUCUCUAUGCGUAAUGUCUCAAGCUUCCCCAAACUUUUGGCCGUUGAAAAUGUGAAUAGAUACUUCAUUCUUUUGCAGUUUUUCACAAUCAGCUGCUUCAAAUUGAUGAAAGAUGUAACACAAUUUACUAAUCUUUCUAAACGAGGGCACUUAAUAACUGCUAAUCCUUGAAGUUUUUCAGUGUAAGGCUUUACCCAAGGGUGAUCUAACCCUAUAGACUCCAACUCAAGAAGUUUAUUUAGGCUUAAUUUAUUCAACCCAGCUAGUAAUAUCCCAUCAUGAUCACCAUCUAGUUUUUUUGAGGGAAAUAUCUCCUUCAGGCCAAAACAUUGCCUCACAACAAGAUAUUCUAAAUUGGGUACCUUUUGAAGGAAAUCAAAAGGCAAACUAUCUUUCUUAUUUUCAUAAUCUUCAGAAGCUAGAUCAAGAUAAUUCAGUUUGUGAAGGAGGUCUGGUGAAUGCCCAUCUUUCAACAAGGUAAUGUUUUUCUCAUUGAGUAUCACUUCCUUCAGUUUGGGAACAACCUAGCAAGAUAAAAUGAUUGCAAUUAGAAAGAGAAAAAUUACGAAAAGAAAAGGAACUGAAAACAUUAAUUACUAAUGCUCUGUCACCUCUUCAAUCAAGAACAUAGGAUGUGGUAGACUAUGAUGAGGUUGUGAUGUGAAUAGCUUCAACUUACGACAGUAUGCCACAUGCAACCUUUCUAAUAUAGGGCAUUUGAGAUGGUGUUUUCUAGGAUAAAAGCAAAUAAGCAUUGGCAAAUUCCAAAGAAACAACUUCGACAAACAAGGAAAUUCAAACAUUUCAGUUAUUUCAUCUUCCAUUUCCUCUUCUUUUUCAACAAUUUCUACCAACUUGCAACAGUUAUGUAUUGUAAGUGUCUUAAGCUUACUGAGAUUUCUGGCAAGAGUUGAUGGGAACAAUGUUACCAAGGUUCCACAACUAUUUACCAACACUUCUUCCAAAUUGGGAAAACUGGCUAUUCCUUCAGGGUUUUUGUUCCAUAUCCAUUUCAUAUUUGACAAGUCUUUUAAAGUAAGCUUUUUUAAACGAAAUACUGUGUCCUUGAUCUCACAGUCAUCUAUGUCAAAUAUUACUCGUGCUGAUUUACAGCUCUCUACAUUUAGUUCUUCUAAGUUCUUCAAGUAAGGUAGCACAUAGGAUGGAAGUACAAUCUCUCUUUUACUUGCUGCAUCAAAUUCCAAUUUUUUUAAACUGCCAAAGAAAUUAUCUUGAAAAACAAGUUUUCCUUGACAAACAUCUUUCAUCUCUGGAUAAUCCUUCAACUUCAUGUGCUUUGAAUACUCAAAAGACACCUUAGUAACCAGAAAAACUCAUCAUUACAAGUGUAUGUAUGUACAAGAAAAAUUAAUGAAGAAAUCAACUUAUGACAUUUAUAUUGUACAAAGUCCUUGCUUCAAAUUAUAUUGUAAAAACGCUACAGCGUGCAAUUUAUAUAUGUUUUUCAACUAUGACAGUUAUAUUGUAGAAUACUUUGUUGCCCAAGUUUUAUAUGAAAUGAAAAAUAUUGAUGGUUUAGCAAUCAUAAAUAAAUAUUAUGAUUCGUACCUGAUGUGUAAAAUGUUUCUUCAGAGUUGCAUUUAAAUCACCUUCCCAAUACCAUUUGUCUUUUUCUGUGGCUACAACUUGUACUUUUUGUAGAUUUGGAGCACUUUGAACUUUGGAGAAUUUCGUCAUUUUAGGACAUUCACUCACUACUAAAUUUUCCAUCACAGGAAAUUUUAAGUCACACUUAUCCACAUUCAUGAAACUUGUGAGAUUUUGUAGAGAAACCAAUUCUAAGGAUCGUAAUAGUUUAAACUCAAUUUCUUGUAUUUCUUCGCCUUCAUUUUCUGAAAUGAUUUCCACAAGCUUUGGACAUGAACUUACUUUCAUCGUUUUGAGUUGAACCAAGGUUUUAGCAGUUGAGCAUGUCAUCAAACUCCUCAACAUACAAUUUUCCACUUCUAAAUAUGUCAAGUAACCAAAAGAUACUGAGGAUGACGCCAAAAUUUUCAAUUUGGUACAGCGUUGAAUGGUUAAGCGUUCUACCCUUUGAAGAAGCACCUCAUGCUCGAAGCCAAUCUCCUCCAGAGGCCAAAUGUUUUUUAGUUCCAACGCUUGAAGUUGCAUAACAACUCCAAUUUUUUCACGUGAAAUAAGACUUGCAGGGGCCCAAAUCCUUUUCAAGUGACAGAACCCCAAUGUUAACCUUUUCAAAUUGGGAAGUCUAUGCAAAAGCCAGAAGAGAACUUCAACGUUCUUCAACCCGUGCAACACAACUGUUUGUAGAUUUUGCAUUCUGUGAACAUUGAUAAUGUAAUUCUGCAACCACUCUACUUCCCUGAAGCUCAUUGCCAUAUAUUCCAAGUUGUAUAUCACCUAACAAACAUAUAAUACGAAUAUUAUCAUUAUCAAAGCAUAUUUGGAACCAAAUUUUCGUGAAUGAAUUAUUUUUAACAAUACAUAAAAGACCUAUACAUUACCUUUUCCGCAGCCAAACCAAUUGGUUUCAUUUGUGAGUUUGAGAUAUCUGUAUUGAUCCCUUCAAGCUUACCACAUCUUAGUAUCAACAAUCUCUUCAAUGAUGGCCACUCCAAAGUAUGAGCUCUCCCGUAAAAGCUCACAAGUUCAAAUAAUGAUUGUAAUGAUACAUAGUUCAGACGAGGAAACUUAAAGGUGAUAACAUUUUCAUUUUUACCUUUGUCAGAACCAACAAUCUCUUUCAUUGCCCUACAGUUCCUUACAUCAAGAAAUUCCAAAUUUUCAAGGUCAUUGGUAAUCGAAAGUGGAAAGAGAUGAUUUAAAUUUGGACUUCCAGCAACUGUUAUGCUUUGCAGAUUAUUAUACUUAAGUAUUUCACAAGUGUCAUCCUUCCAUAUGCUCACUAAAUUUGACAAAUUUUGUAGAACUAUUUUAUGCAAUUGUGUUUCAUUUAUAUCACUAGUUUGUGGAAUCAUUUCAAAAUCAAAUAUGUUUUCCACUAACUUGCAAUUUGUAAUGGUCAAGCUUUGAAGACUCUGAAAUUUUUGCCCCAUAAAACUUGGAAAAAUCGUUACAAGUUUGUGACAUUCUCGUAUUAUCAAAGAGUCUAAACUGUGAAAGGAAUGAAGACCGAUAUGGGGUUGCCAAAUGCUACUGAGUUUCUCCAUGCAGGUGAUCUCCAUUUUCUUUAACUUAGGAAAAACAUAAUCAAUAGUCCCCUACAAUAAAAAUUAGUAGUUAGAUAAGCAGCUAAAAGACCUCAACAAUUAAUGCAAUUAAUUCUACAACAAAUGAUAAUACGAAUCAAACUAAAUACUAAAUAAAUCCACACACCUCAUCAUCUUUUGGACGAAAUAUAUCCUCCAUCAUUUCACAUUCACUUACAGAAAGGCUUUGGAGAUUCACCAAACAUACAGCCAUGGAGAAUGACAAUAGAUAUUUCAAAUUAUCACAAUCUGUCACAUUUAACGUGAGCAAAUUUUGAAAACAAUGCUGAGAUUGGUCACUCCAUAUCUUUUGGAUGUUGACCGAAGAUAACUCCAACGAUUCUAGUUUUGGAAUCGAAAUCUGUAAGAAUAAUUAAUUUCUAAACAAUAAGAUUAUGAAGAAUAACAUGCAAAUUUAAUUAAAGAUUGUGAAGGAUUCUAGAGGAUACAUAUUUUUGAUAAUGUUUUACAUUACCUUUUCAUUGAAGAGUGAAAGGCAAGAAUUGGUGUCAUCUUGCUCAACUUCAACAAUAACAUCUCUGUUCCUGUUUCUCCCUUUUUCUUCCAGUGAUUGUGCACUACAAGGCAUCUUAUCAUUUGUAUACAAACAAGUAAAUGCUGGUAAGGAUUUUAAUGUCAAAGUUCGUAACUGAGGAAACUGGAUAUUGUCAUCACUGUCAGUAUGGGGUUGUCUUUCAAUGGCAACUAUGUCUUUCAAAGAAUCGCAAUCACACACUUCAAUAUUUUCAAGCAUGGUAAGGAGUCCAACCAUGAAAAAUGGGAAAAGGCUUUCCAAUUUGUCACAUGAUUUAAUCUUGAUGGUUUUUAAUCUGCAGAAAGAGGCCUCCAGAAGCUGAUUGUUACAUAGUUUCUCCAAAUUAUACAAUUUGUAAAGAUACAACGACUCCAAUUUGGGGAAAGCUAAUAAAGGGUGGAAUCGUUCCACUGAGUUAAUAAUAUAUUGAAGGCCAAUAUUGUUUACAAUGGAUAAAUGUUUCAACUUUUGAAAUCCUUCAACAUUUAACUCAUAGAAAACAUCAUGAACAUCAAUGAGCUCUCCCAACAAUAAAUAUUCAACAUUUUUGAACAGCAUUUUAACCCAUGUUUCAGAAUGAAUGUCAAUACCUUCUUUUAGGUUCAAUACCAGAAGUUUCACCACUUCAUACUUGUCAGGGAUUUUGAAUUCUCCCUCCGUGAGCAUGUUAAAUUCACCAAUGAUAAUCUUGUAGCUAUCCAACUUAUCAAAAAACAAGUUUUGUGGAACAUGAGAAACAUUUUGAAUGUGUAAGUCUAGGUUUCGCAACUGAUUCAAGUUCCUCAACUCAGAAAGACUAGCAUUUUUAUUUUGGAUCAUCUCCUUGGCCUCCCAUAGAAUCAAGGUGUCUCUCAUAUAAAGUUCUUCCAAAAUGUUGAUCCUUGAUAUGACGUUGGAAGGUAUGACACUUAAUUUUGAGCAAUUACUUAAGUCAAGAAGUUGAAGUUUAUCUAGUUGCCCAAACUCAAAGGGAAAACUUUCAAUGUUAGACCCUGAAAGAGUAAGAAUUCUUAGUUUUUUUAACUCUCCAAUGAUUGAUAAGUUUUGUCCUAGAGUGCACUUUUCCAAACUAAGCAUUCUUAGUUUUGAUAAGCAUAUAAUUGAAGAAGGCAAACAAGGCAUAUUAAAACUGGUCAAUAUCAAAACUCUGAGUUCAAUCAUGUCUUUGAAAAAGUCGUCUGGUAUUUUCAAAAACUGAUCUUUAUUGUCAAUAUGUAGGACUUCAAGUCUAGGACAAUAUAUACUCACAGGAAGAUCAUCAUUGAUAUAACAAUAGUGUAAAAAAAUAGCAGUGUACCUCUCAAGUUGAUCUUUGUGAGGCCACUCAUCGAUUAUGCCAUUUUUCAUAAAGAACAUUUGUUUUUCUUUGGAUGAUAUUGAAAGAGCAACAUCACGCACAAUGUCAUGCAUGUUAAAGCGGUUGCUAGAGUAACUUUCCAACAACAAACUUGAUUCUUUUAGUUCUUCUAUCAACAUAUUUACUUUAUUUCUCGCUUCUCCAAUUGUGUGGACUCCUUGUAUUAAACCCAAACCAAUACAAAACUUCACCAAGUCCAUCACCAAAGCAUCAUUUCCCAUUCUUGCACAAUGCAAAAAAAUACACUUAAGCUGCUCAUUUUUUAGAUGAUCAUAACUUAGCUUUAUAGAGAACUCAAUAGGUUCUUGCCCUUCCAUAAAACUUUUCUUUUUCAUUUGUUGAUAGACAUCCUCCCAUACAAAGGAACUUUUAUUCUUUAGUGUCCUCCCUAUGGAAACCAAUGCAAUAGGCAACCCAUCACACAUUCUUGCAAUUUCAAUGGCUUUUUCAUCAUACACUAAAUUUUGGAUUUGUAUUCCAGCCACUCUCUUAAGCAAAGUCUUUCCCUCAGUUUCAUUAAGGACUCCAACAGAGAAAGUUGAUCUCUCCUUCACAUCCAUUUGAUUACACAAUACUUGUUUUCUUCUAGAUGUUAGAAGAAUUUUGCAUCUUUUCUGAUCUUCAGAUAAAUUUUCUUCUGUCAUGUUAUUGAAAUCGGAAGAUAACUCUUCUUUUUCCAUCUUAUCGUAACUAGAAUCAGAUAUAUCAUUGACAUCUUGUUGGCUUCCAUCAUUUUCAUCACUUAUUGGAAUACCCAAUCUAUUCAAGUCCAACCCAUCCCAUAGAUCAUCUAGGAUUAUAAGGGUGUUCUCCUUUUCUUUAUUUAAUCUCUUUCGAAUGCGAUCUGCUCUUACGAUCUCACUUUCCUCUUCCAAUCUCAUUCCUAACAUCUCAGCUAUUUGUCCUUGAAUUUUUAUGAUGUUAGGAUUUCUUGUUAUAUUUGCCAUAACCACCACAUUGAACAACUUCUUUUCUUGAGCUUUCUUAGCAACUUCUUUGACUAAAGUGGUCUUACCCACACCACCAACACCAUAAAGGCCAAUCAUAUUAAUUGUAGAGUCUUCUAGUGCUUGCAUACACACAUUGAUAGUUUUUUCUCUUGAUGCAAAGCUUUCAUAACUAGUGUUUGUCAAAGCAGCAUUAAUGGACGGGAGUACUCUAUAGGAAACUUCAUCAAACUUCUUAUUCCAAAGUUCUUCUGCUUCCAUUUCCUCUACCAUUUUUGUAGCAUUUCUGCCCAAUCUAUACCUCAACGAUAAGUUAUUUGGAAAGAAACCAAUGGAACAUCUUGUCUUUGAAUGAUAUUCAUCGUUAAUAAAUUGUUCAUAUUUUUCAAUCUUCUCAUCCAACUGUUUUAAGCAAUGUUGAACAUCAUCUUCAAUUUCUUCUGCAUUCAUUUCUGCAUUAUUAACUUGAUGUUGUAUCCUUUUCCUAGUAUUAUCCAACCUCUCAAUGUAACAUUUAACCUCUUCAAAUUUGUCAUUGUAAUUAAAAAAGUAGCUAAACUGUCGUUUCACUACACGUACUGCAAUUUGCAUUGCAUUUUCAGUCGCCGUAGAGACAACUACUUCCAUACUCCCUUCACAAUUGAGACCCUCUCCUUUGCUUUAUUGGUUUCUACUAGGGAUACUUUUUUUUUCUGAUACAAAUGCAAAAUUCAAAGUUUAAGACUUAUAAGGGAAUCAAUAUAUAAACAUUAAGUAAACAUAUUGAUAAAAGUUGAUGCAAACAUCUAGAAAAGUUCAUGUAAGAAAAUCUUAGAAAUAAUACGACACUAUAAUCACUUGAAAGUUGUAAAUGUCACUAGUGUAGAAAAGUCAUUUUAUACCAUGUUUUUAUAUCGGUUAUAAUUUACUAGGUAUAGAAAUUGGCAAGGUGACAAUUUCGUAAAUAUGAAAAGGUUUUUAAUACCCAAAAUCGGUGUAGAAAGUAGUGUGGUUGAGAAAAUGUAAUAAAUUACGAAGAUUUUCUAUAACGGUCGAGUCCAUAAUGGGUUUAGAAAGUGAUACAUUGACAAAACUAUAAUAAAUUGCAAAGCUUUUUAUACCAUUGUUCUCAAAAUGAGUAUAGAAAGUAAUGUGAUAGCACUUUUGCAAUAUUGGAGAAGACUUUCUAUAUCUAUUAGUCACUAUAACUGGAAUAGAAUGUUUAAUACUCCUCUACCUAACCCUUUCGUGUUUCACUAUCAUUCGUGCUUCACUAUCAUUCGCACUUCUCAUACUGUCUUUUUUCUUCUCUACACUACACCUCCAAUUGCAUCUCACGCUUCCCAUGCCAGCUAUUUCGUUUGUCACUAACCUUCAUCGUUGGUCAUGAUUACCCUAGUCGUUGGUUUCUCUCGUGUUGUAAUGGCGUUGCUCGUGUUGUGGUGGCAUUGCUAGGUGUUGGGUCUAUCAAGAGGAGGGGUUAAAAAACGGUGACCCACACAAAUAAUUUUACUCUUCAAUCCAUUGUGGGUAAUUUUCAUUAAACCUUGACAACCUUUAAAUAGGUGCAAAUCGGGCCUUGGGCCAAGUACAAAUAAUAAAAACUGACAAUAAAAUAUCAACUUACUUAAAAAUAAAAUAUGCUUAUUCUAUCACAAAAUAAUAUUCUACCUACAUAAACAGAAAAUCAUAACUACUUAUUCCUAAUUUAUCUCUAUCAAAUCAAACCAAAUAUUACUAGACCCAAAACCAAUAAAAUAAGAUUUAAACAAAAUCAUUAAUAAAACCCUAAAAUUUAAGUUUAUCCCAACAAACUCCCCCAUAAACUUAAAUUCUUCCUUUAUUCUCGACUUUUGCUCCUAGACCUCUUCUUCUUAUUCUUCUCUUUAUUUUUCUCACGGCCUUGAGUGUUCCCCUUCAAGUUUGAAGUCGAUCUUGCCUAACAUAGUUGUCCCCUGUACGCGACGUCUUCAUAGUGCGUCCAUAGUGCGUCUUUUUCACCGCAUUCCAAUUACUUCUCCUUUCUUUUUUACUCUCUUUUCGAACACUCAGACUCUUCUCGCUCUCUGGGUUUUUGAGACUCUCCUUUUUUUGUUCUCCUUUUUCUCUCUAAAUUCUCCCUCUCUCCUUUUUCUCUCUCUAGAUAUUUGACUCUCCUAUCUGUCCUUUUUUUUUUUUUCUCUAAACUCUCCCUCACUCCUCCUCCAGCGGAAGCAUUCUCAACCAACCACAACCACGAGUAGCCCUUUCCAAGGGCCGUUCAACUUAACGGAACUCGCUUGCCUGAAUACCCUUUGUCAGGAAGACUUUUGGUAUAGGGAUCAUUAUACUCGUUUGAGCCGGUCACCAAGACAAACAAUUGACUCUGAUACCAUUGUUUGGUCUAUCAGGAUGAGGGGUUAAAAAACGGUGACCCACACAAAUAAUUUUACUCUUUAAUCCAUUGUGGAUAAUUUUCAUUAAACCUUGACAACCUUUAAAUAAGUGCAAAUCGGGCCUUAGGCCAAGUACAAAUAAUAAAAACUGGCAAUAAAAUAUCAACUUACUUAAAAAUAAAAUCUACUUAUUCUAUCAUAAAAUAAUAUUCUACCUACAUAAACAGAAAAUCAUAACUACCCAUACCUAUUUUAUCUCUAUCAAAUCAAACCAAAUAUUACUAGACCCAAAACCAAUAAAAUAAGAUUUAAACAAAAUCAUUAAUAAAACCCUAAAAUUUAAGUUUAUCCCAACACUAGGUUUAUGGCUAUAGAAUUUCCUCCUUCCUCUCAUAUUGAAGCUCUCGUUUUGGGGUGGCUCUCUCAUUGCUAUCUUUCUCCUUUUCCUUGUUUAGGGUAUUGGUGAAGCACGUGUUUAGGGUGUAUCUCGUGCUUCUACUAUUUUUUUUAUCAAGUUUGAAUAUAUUCAAUAAAUUAUUCUAACAUAAUUCAUUUUCAAUGUUCAAGAUAUUUAUAUCGUAUAUGCAUUAAUUGGAAAAAUGAUCACAUAUAUGAAUUUAAUGACCUUGAGGCCAUCGAAGCAGUUGAGUGAAGAGGUGAAAAAGUACUUCUUAGAGGACUUUGAAAAGAGAAAAAAACAAGUCUACUUAGCACCUUAUUUACAAUAGUAAAUAUGUUUUUUAUAAAUUAUAUUUUAUUCAUGUAAAACUUAAUUGUAUCUAAUGCACUUAGAAUAUGUAAGGUUAUUGACAAUUGAUAAUAGUUCCUCUUGUGGUUCUUUUGUGUUCAUUACGCAGGAAACCUAACACUUUGACAAUUAAAAGUACAAUAACAACAUAAGUUUUUUUACAAUUUAUUUGUUGGGUUAUAUACUAUAAUAUUAUAUAAUAUUACUACUAGGCACAAAUUUCAUGGGAUUUAGUAAUGUGUGCAAUUUAUAAGUAACAUCUUAAAUAUUUAUCACUAUAAAUUGACAAUUGUUCAAUGUGUAAAUUUUCGGUGACACAUCUCUAUUGAAGGAAGAGGUCCUAAAGGAAAUUCGUGAGUAGCGGUCUUUGUUUCUUUUGAUGUUAGGUGACUUUAUGAGGUUGGGAUUGUAUUAGUUUUGAUGUAAUUAUUACAUUAAUUAUAUAUAUAUAUAUAUAUAUAUAUAUAUAUAUAUAUAUAUAUAUAUAUAUAUUGGAUAUGGCAGAGAACUGGGUUAAUUUUAUGCAGGUUUGGAUGUGGUAGAGAACACAUACAACCUUUCAGUUAAAAAUAAUUUGUAAUUUUUUAUAUUAGUUUAUUUCCUAACAGGUAUAGGAAAUGGAUUUUUUAAACUGAUUAAAGUCUCAAUCGAUUUAAAAAGUUUGAAUCAUAUAUGUAAAUAAUGCACUUUUUAAAUUGGUUAAAGUUGCAAGUAGUUUAAAAAGUUUAGGUCAUUUAUAUAAAAAGUUCAUUUUUUAAACUAGUUAAUAUUCUAACCGGUUUAAAUGUCUAGGUUAUAUAUAUAAAAUUUUGAUUUCCAAGUGAAUUUUUUUAAACGAGUUUCUAAAUUAGGAAUAGAAAGUAGACUUUUUAAACUGAUUUGAGAAUAGAUUUAAAAAGUUUAGUACUUUUCAUAUCCUUAUUUCUAUAUCUGUUCCAAAACCAGUUUAAAAAAUGUUAUUAAUUAAUUAAAAGAUUUUUCUGUACUAUUGUGUUUUAAGAAAUUGUAUAAUUUUGACAUUUGUAGUAAGUGGAGUGAUGUUUUACGUCAUGAAAAAUUGUAUUAAGUAAGGAAUUAAGAAAUUAAAGUUAUCACCAACAUUAAAUAAAUGAUUUUUUAUUAUAAGACAGUUAUAUUUCAAAAUAUAAGUCAUGGGAACACCAAAAAAAGUAGACAUUCAUUGUCCGUAAAAAAUCAAUAUUAACAAAAAAAAAUGUUAACUAGUUAAUAAUGUUGAAUUUAAUGUUGCCCGUAAAAAAAAUUAUUAUCAUUGUUAUUAUUAUAAUUAUAAAAUUAAAUAUAAAUAAUUUUUAUAAUUUUAUUAUAAAUAAUUUUAUAUAUUUUAUAAUUACUUUAAUAAUUGAAAAAAUGUUUAAGGUAAAAAAUUGAUCAAAUCCAAAAAAUUAAUGAUUAAACUUAAAGAAAAGAAUUAUUUAAAUUGAUAGAAUAAUAUUAUUUUAAUUUUAAAUGUUUUAUUUAAAGGAUAAAACUAGAAAACAAAUGUAGAAAUAUAGUUAUUAAUUAACAAAUAUUUAAUUUUUAAAAAAUUUAAAAUAAUUGACAUUAACUUGACUUUAUUUAAUGAUUAAUUUAUGACAUAUUUUUAAUAAGUGUUAGGGAGAAUAUAAAUUUUAGGUAUUAUAUGAUAUAAACAAAUCAAAGUAGCAUACAACAUGGGUCCUACGGUAUCCUAUGCUUACCCCAACCAGCAUGCUAAAACUUACUCCUCUACAGGUAUUUUCCUAUCAUGUACAGUGGCUUAAUAAACUUACUCCUCUACAGAUAUUUUUCCUUAUUAAUCACAUAUUCUACCUAUCAUUUUCUUUUCUUUUAUUUCUUUCUUUUUGUAUCAUAUCUUUUACAGUCUAUUUAUUCUAGAUUCCAUUUCGUUUAAAAAUAAAAUAAAUUGAUAAUAUAAAUAAGUAAAAUAUUUGUUUUACAAAUUAAUUUUAUAAAAUUGAAUAAAAUUAAAUUCUGCAUAACAGAAUUAUUCAAAAUAUGUGGCAAAACAUUAUUUAUUAAACAUUUCAUUUUUUUAAAAAAUAAAAUAAAUUUAUAAUAUGUAAAUAAGUACAAAUUUUAAUACAAUUUAAUUUAUUAAAUUAAAUAAAAUUAAAAUUUUACAUAACAGAGUUAACCAAAACCUGUAAACAUUACCUAAAGAUAGUGGUUGGAAGUUUGCUUAAUAUAUAAUUCAAAAUACAGAAUUAUCUGAAUGGGACAGAUGGAUGAUGAUGACUAUGAUGUGAGGUUAUUUGUUAAAUUAAAUCUGUAUGGAUUAGAGAUGUGAUGAUGUUUACAAUAAUAGAAGCAGAUGAUAGAUGAUGAUAUAUACUUAAUCAUUUACGAAUCAAAAAUGAAUAUAAUUACUCACAUAAGAUAUGGUAACAACAUUUAUAUUUAACUACAUUCGUAAUUAAGCAUUUAGGAAUUUGAAUUUAACAUAAAAGUUUAGUAAGAAAAGAUAUAUUUAAUAGAAAGACAACAAACAUUGAGUAAGGUAUUUACCUGUAGAUCACCGCUGCACUGCACAGAGAAGCAUGGAGAUCAUAGCAUCUUGAGUGUGAUAUGAGCUACAACAUUAACAAAACUGAAAGAAAGCAUAGAACAGAAGAGAUGAAUCAUAAGAAGAGGCGCAAAAGAAACGAUGAGAGUGAUGAAUCUGAGAUUGUGGAUCUGAUGCAGUAUGUAUAAAGAAAAGAAGAUAAUGUGCAGUGGCAUGUGUUUCUGUUCUCAAAUUCAGAACAGAGAGGAGAAGAAAUCCAUUAAAAUAAACAAAACAAAACAUAUUAUUCAAUUUUAUUGAUGUAACUGUACAUUUGGCAACAGCUGUCUGUCACACACAAUUAUUUAAUCCGUAUCAUUUUCCAUAUCGUGUUGUCAGCGUUGCCCAUCUCUACUUAUUAUCACCAUAACUAUUCAGACCUGUUUGGACAAAUAAUAUUACAAAACCCAACAACAAACUAACCGUUUACAUCUCCACCACUUUCUUUUAUUAAUGAUAUGAUGCCAAAUAAUAAUACUUUUAUUUAAGGCGAUGUCCCGCGAAUAAUAUUUUAAGUAUUGAAUACUUUCUGUACGGAUAUCUCCAACGAUCGGUUUCCAGACGAUCCGUCAACAAGAUAAUAAAUCAGUCAACGUAACACAGGAGUGAAUGAUAUUCAAACAGAAAUAUCAUCAAUUACUUUAAGUAUUGAAAAUACUUCCCACAAGGAUACGAUACUUAGUUGGACAAGGUAGGAGAUCACCGUAAUAUAUAGAACACUUUACUUAUUAUCACCAUAACUAUUCAGACGUGUUUGGACAAAUAAUAUUACAAGAACCCAACAACCAAAAAGUGGGCCAUAUCUAACCCUUUACAUUUCCACCACUUUCUUUUAUUAAUAUCAUAUGAUGCUAAAUAAUAAUACUUUCAUAUUCUUUAAAAAUAAUUACAUUCAUUUUUUAAAGAAACAUGUUUUUAAUCAGGUAUUUUUUAUUUAGUAAAUGAAUAUAUUAAAUAACAUCUGUUAAACCACAUCAAUCCUGUAAUAUCAAUAAAUUUGAAUAAAAAAACUUGUAUUCAUGAAACUGAAAUUUUUUAUUUUAAUAAUAUUUUAUUAAUUUUUUAUUAUAAUAAAUAAGAAUCAUAAUUGGAUUUUUUUAAUGUAAUAAUUUAUAUUAUAAUACAUAACAUAAGGGCGAGAACUCAAUGAUGUUGUGUGAACUCAUGAAGUCUUUCCACUACUUUGUUGUGUUAAGAGUUGUUUGUUUUACUUUCUUUUAUCAUGAUGUUGUGUAUUGUAGUUGGUACAAAAAUUUAUAAGGGUAGCCAAGCUUAUAAUGAUAAUAAAAAUAAAGAACAAAACUCCAAAAAAACAAUAUGAGAAUAAAAUUUAUUUAAGUCUCAAUUCAAACACUUUUUCUUUUAAAAGGAGGUUGGCAGAGAUGACAUUGUUACGAAGUUCAAUUUUCAAAGUAUUUAACUUGAGAGACUAAUAGCAAGCAGAAACAACUUAAUUGGACAUUAGACAAGCGAUACACAACAUCGAUUGUUUUUUUAUAUUGGAUUUCAAUUUUAUAACUAAAAUAUAUUAAGACAAAAUAAAAAGGAAAAGAUUUUCGAUUAUAAACUGGCACAAAAAAAGAUUCACAUUUUAUUUCAACUAAAAAAAUCUAAAACAUUCAACAACAUAUAAAAUAUAAAAUAUUAAAAAUAAAAAAUAAAAAGUUGGUUAUUUGACCUUAAUUAUGAGACAACUGGGGUCAAAUCUCUUUUCUGUUUUGGUUAUAAAAUAACUAAGUUUAUUAAAAUUUCUUUUUAAAUAUAUUUAUUUUAAAGUGCAUUUGGUUUUGAUUAUUAGUUAAUCCAAGUUGAAUACCCUUUUCUCCUUUGGUUAUACAUAUAAGUAAAGCCUAAUGUUGUUUUUUUUAAUAUUUCUUUAUGAAAGGGUAUUUAGUUUUGGUUUUGACAUGAACUGAAGUCAAAUGCUUCUUUUUCUUCGAUUUUGGCUAUAACAAAAGUCUAAUAUUUCUUUUUUAAAAUAUUUUUCUUUUAAUCGAAGCCGAAUAAUUAUUUUUGCUUUGGUUUUGGUUACAACUGAAGUUUAUUGUUGGCGUUUUUUUUUAAAUAUUUUUUAUUUUAUUUUUGAUUCAUCCUACCUAUUAAACCUGUAUAAAUCCAGUACAGAAACUCAUAACAGAAACAAAAAUAAGUCAAAAUUUAUAUAGUUAUAAAUGUGUUAAAUGCUUACUAAACCUUACAAAGUAUUAUAUCUUUAUAACAAUUAUACUAUUCUACAUUUCUAUUAAAUAAUUUGCACACACUUUUCUUAAAUAAUUAAUGGACUUAUUGAGAAUUGGUGUAGGACUCUUAAAUUUCUGCACAAAAGAUAUCAAUUAGUAUAUAAAAAUACAAAGUUGUAAAGUAUUUGGUUAUAUGGGAUAAGCCGAGAAUACAAAUAAAAAAUAAUAACAAAUUAACUAAAGAUAAAAGAUAAAUAUAAAAUAAAGAUAAUAUAUCUAACACUCCCCCUUAAGCUAGUACAUACAUAUGUACCCAGCUUGUUACUAAUAUAAUCCAUCAAGACUUAGCUGCUUCUACACUUAGUGACAUCAAAUUGCUAAUGAUUUAUAAGACGACAUAGAAGACAAAAUACCAACCCAACCCCUGAGCAACAAAUUUGGGAGGUUGCUCCAUGUAAAUCUCUUCUUGCAAAUCGCCCUUGAGGAAUGCCACCGGUGGAUAAAGAGGUAAUUGUUGGAGAGCCACCACGGUUAUAAAUAAACUAACAAAACCAUCUUUUCCAUGGGAAAAAAAAGCAUAUAUGUACGGGUCAAAUACAAUGGUGAAAAAAGAGAGGUCUGAAGAGACAGUAGCAGAAGAAUCCAUGGAUGAAUACAAGAGAGAAAUAUUAAAAAAUCCAAGAUUCUCUAAUUAAGGCUCAAGAGCUGAAGAGCUGCUUGAGAGGAGAUGAGACACGCGACAACACAUGAUGAACAUGAAAGAGGAAAACGAGUGACCUCGACACUCUGGAUUACUACUAGACAUGCCCAAUGCACGACGAAAAAGGGAGCAAAUCCAAAACUUUAAAAGCGCUGAGAGUAGACAACGACGUCGCCGACAACAAUAGACGAUAGUGCCGUCGACAACGGUAGAUGGUGUCGUCGCCCGCAACGACGAAUGUAGUGAUAGAGGCACCAGAAACUUUUUCCUCAAAAGAACCUUAAGCUCUAGAUACCAUAUUAAUUAUAAUAAAAACUAUAUAUGAUAUUAAUCUUCCUUGUAUUAAAUACACACAUAGGGUUCUCUAUUUAUAAUAGAAGAAAUAUGGGAUAAGCCCAAAAUACAAAUAAAAAAUAAUAACAAACUAACUAAAGAUAAAAGAUAAAUAUAAAAUAAAGAUCAUAUAUCUAACACAUUGAAUGAAAUUAUUACCAUUUCGUAGCUGGUUGAGAUAUAAGCAUGAAUACUAGCUGUCAUCCAAUGCAAUUAUUACAUAGUAAUUGCACUGAUAAGAGUCAGUUUGUCUAUUACACUACAAUAUACCAACAUAAUUGUAAAUAAUUGAGGAAGAUCGCUGGAAUAAGACAAUUAUAAAUAGAUGGAUCAAAAUACCAAACCUUGAGAGAAGACCAUGCAAGCUCUUUAGCCUUUUAGCAUUUGAUUUCACUGAUAACAUAUGUCAUGCAAUUGAACUAUGAAAAAUGUUAUGUUUUAGGAUACAUUUAUAUAAAAAAGAAAGUUCUUAACAUUUAGAGUCCUACCAAUAUAUUACUUGUUUGAGAUGGUUAAAGGGGAUACUUGUGCAAGGAUAAAAACCACAUAGUGAUAUGGUUCGUCAAGAAACCACAACUAGUUGCCAAUGACACCUAAUAAAUAAUCUUACCAACCUCCCUUAUGUCGAAUCUUCUUGGAUCUUCAUUUUAACCAAAUCCAAAUCCAUCUUUUGUGUUUUCUUGAAUGUUGAGUAGUGUACCAAUUAAACUAUCACACACAUUUUUCUCUACAUGCAUUACAUUUAUACAUACCUAACCUCUAACUUUGAUCAAUAUCGAAGAUAAAAGAAUAUUGAUUUUUUCUUCCAAAGGCUCAUUGCAUAAGACUUCUUGGAUGUUUGCCCAAAUACAUUAUGUAUUUUAUUAACAUUUUCAUGACUUUGAAGACCAAUCAGUAGAAUUGGUGCAUUGUCAUUCUCUUGAUGUCAAUUGAAUGUUUUUUUAACCUUCGAUAUGGCUUAUUAGAUUGUAAAAAUAUUCGAUUGUGCAUAUAUAGUAUUUUUUUGUGUGUUUCAAUUGCUGAACUAUAAUGUUUUCUUCACGCAUAGGACAUGCUUUAUGACUCUUGAUGAUGUAUCGUAAAAUAUUUAUAUAUUGAUUAAUUAUUUUAGAUAUGUGAUUAAUUAUAUGCUUAAAUAUAUUGAUUUAUUUUGUUUUAGUUGAAAUUAUUGUUAUACUGAGUUGAUAGUGAAAUGGAAAAAAAAAAAGAGAUUUCAGAACUCAAUCAAACAAGCCAGACAAUGUUAUUUUGUUGUGUAUAGUUUAAAUAGAAGAAGACUUACAUAUUAUGCUGGUAUUGGUUUAAAAGCCACUCAUGAAUAUUGUUAUAGUUGCAAGUAUUUUACAAAGUUGAGUUAGGCCUAUCCUUAGUUAUGUUGAUUCGCAUACCUCAAGCAAAGUUGAGGCAAAGGCAAAUUGGGUCUAUGUCAAGCCAUAUCAAGUUGAAUAAAGUUUGACCCACAUUGGACCGAGUUGAGUCAUGUCUACCUUGAGUCAUGUUAAGUUUAGACCACGUCAGACCUAUCUUGGGUUAAGUAGGCUCAAGUCUCCUUGGGUUAAGUAAGGUCGAACCCACCUUAAGCCCACCUUAGGUAGAUUCGAGCUAAGUUCACCUUGGGCUAAGUCGAGUUAAGUCUACCUCAUUCUAAGUCGAGUCAGAACCAUCUUUAGUUGAGUUAUGUCAUGUCAACCCUAGGUUUAAACUAAUCAAACCCAUGUAAGAUUGAGUAGAGUUUAGUCCAUGUUAGGCUGAGUAGAUUCAGUUCACAUAAAAUCGAUUUUGGGUUGAAUAUGGUUACGCUCACGUCAGACUGAGCUUAUGUGACCCAUUUUGGGCCAAGUUGAGUUAGACUGACCUUUGGCUUAAUCGAGUCGAAUCCACAUUGAGCUUAGUUGAGUUAAGUCAAUGUGAGGUCAAGUUGAGUCAGACUUGCAUUAAGAGCUAACAUGUUCAAAUCAUCUUGUGCUAAUUCAAGUUAAGACAAGGUCGACAUAAGUUUGGACCAAAGUGAAACAACGUUAGGCGAAACUAAUGUUAAGUUGGGUCAACCUAGUUGGACAAGUUGAAUUGGAUCUUAACUUUCCUGUUAAGUUUGAAAUAGUAAAAAUUGAGUAAAAACCAAUUUAUAAUAAAUAUAAAAUAUCUUCGGAUCAAAAUUUAUGAUUUAAAAUAAUUGAAAGACUUAUGUUAUUGUGAAAUAUAUUUAAAAGUUAAUUAAAGUUGUGUAAGAGCCCAAACUCACUUUGACUUUGAUCGUAACCCGUUUUAAUAGUGGGAGCUUUAGGGUGGGUUUUUGUUUUUUCAGUUCGUUCAUUUGAUAUAUCAUAUAAAGGAAACUUACUUAGGAGCAUAUUAAAGUUGACUCAUGAUUUCAAAUUGACACCUUUAAUUAUUUGGAUAAAGUUGUGAUUAUUUUAAAUAAAACAAAUAUCAUCUUUUAUAGGUAUUUAAAGAAAUUAUGAAUAACUCAUCUUACUAAUCAAACCAUUCAAUCUAAUCCAAUCUAAAAUCAAAUUGUAUUGGAUUAAAUUAUUUUUUUUGGAUUAGAUAUGCUUUUAGUUUCUAAACUUUGAUAAAAAAAAAAUUGUCUACGUCCUAAACAUUAAUGUAUUUUGGUCACAAAACUUAAAAAUGACCCAAUGAGAUUACUUUUUAUUUUUUCUUACAUGUAAAAAGCUCAAACUCCAACUUGAAAUAAUUUGAUUUGCAAAAAAUAAAAAAAUAAAAAUAAAUGUAGUUGUGGUAGAAGAAAUAUUUCUAUUUAAUUUUAAAAUUUGCAAACCAAACUGAUUAAAGUUUAAGACACUAAAAUUUUAAUUUUGUAUCCAAGCUUAGGAAUCAUCACAAAUAUAUUUAUCCUUUUUCUUUUGUUUUUGAACACACGGUUUUUAGCACCAAAAGAAUCGAAACAAACCACAGAAACCCUGCCAAAUUGUAGUUUUAUUAAGAGAAAAAGUGUAAAUGCCACAAAAUUUUCUCACAUGUUUUCUUGAUAUUGGAAAGCUGUAUGUAGCAGCUGAUGUAAAUUGGCUCACCCCUACACUAAUUCUCCCUUUAGCAUUCCGAUAUGUUUGAUAACAAGGAGUAGCACAUAUCCAAAAACUAACGUAUUUUUGGUAGUCCAUUCUACGCCCUUAAACAAAAGGCAUUACGAAAAUAAAUGACAGAUAUCAUAGAACAUACACUCUCACAGAACCCAUUUGACAUUAUCAUCCUAAAAGACACCCCAUUAGAGCUCAUGUUUUUUUAUCAACAGCGAAUAAAAUUAUGAUAAGUACAUUGCCUUUUCCUAACAUUUUACUCGCAGUCACCCUCACGCAGGUCUAUUUGAAACCUGAUAGAGAUACGUCUCUGUGUGAUGAAAUACAACUAUAUCCCUGCCCACCACUUCCAAAGCCAUGCCCCCCAGAAUAUACAAAGAAUAUAAAACUUAAAAAUAACAGGGGUAGCAAAUUCCUAAAGCAGUAAAUAAUGGAUGAUCUUAAAGUCUCAAUUCAAACACGUUAUUAAGGUGUGGCAGGCAUGACAUUGUUACAAAGUUCAAUCUUCAAAGUAUUUUAAGUUGAGGACUAACAUGCAUACAUAAUAUAACUAACUUAAUCCCAUACAAUAAUGGCCAUGUAGGUCCACCUUAUUUGUAUUUCAAGCAUUACAAACAAUAAAAAACAGACUUAGAAUAAACUUUUGUUCAUGAUACUUGUAUCAUCAUUGUUCCCUCUGCCUCUGAUAUUGCAAUGCGGAAAUCACAGCUAACCUAACAAAUAAAUAAAUAAAUAAAAGCACAAUUAUAUGUACAGAAGUUUAACUAAUUUGUUUCCAAUAAAGUAAUCAAAUUAAUGCAAUGACAAGAAAUGAGAAUUAUAUUCAACUAUUCUGAUGGAAGCAUACAGCCCCUUAUUGUAAAUAGCUUUGAAAAGGUAUGUGGUAAACAGCAUACUCUUACUGUAUUUCUUAUAUUUACAGUGAUCCAUGUGUAGUUGUUCAAAUGAAAUCCUAAGUAUUUGAAAGUCCGAUCUUAUGUUUUAAUGUGUCUCCAAUUAUUAAAUAAGAGAGACAAUUAAGAGAAACAAAUAACACACGGGUCUCCAUACUUUACUUUUCAUGUAACGAAAUUAAUCAUACUUAUAUCUUUUGGUUAUUUUAAACUAGUUAUUAUAAAAACUCGGUUGGUUUAUGAGCAUUGUUACAUAGGUUAAUCUGUUUGUAUAAUUGAUAAUUGUUUUAUCAGUUAUAUUCUUCUUUAUAUGACUGCUCUCUCUGUGUGUUAUUAAUCAAUAAUAAUAGAAUAAUUAUUUUCUUCCUUUUGCACCCUUUUAUCUCUUUCUCCUUAUAUGGUAUUUAGAGCAAAAAAAUUUCUCCAUGAAUUUCCGCCGCUAUCAACUCUGAUUCAUCUCCUUCCUCUUCCAAUUUUCUUCCGCAAACUUUAGAUAACCCAAUUUCUCUAAAACUUGAUGAUGACAAUUUUCUUCUUUGGCAAUAAGUUCUUACCACCAUUCGGGGACUCAAAUUGAUGAAGUUCUUGGUUGGAUAUGUGGCUCCUCCAAAAUCCGUGUCCUCUGAUAAUGCGACAACCAUGCCACAACCAUUUCUCUAAAUCCCGCACACGUUGAAUAUGACAAACAAGAUCAUUCAUCCUUAUGUGCAUGUUGUCUCUUUAUGCUGGUGACACAUCAUUCAUUGUCUCCAGUAGUGACCACCACCGUCAAACUCGCCUCCUUUUCCUUGUUAUGGAUCUAUGCUUGCGACUUUGAUUAGAGCACUUUGGACUUUUAGGUUUCUUUUUCCGCUCCUCAUUUAUGACCUCAUCUUUGAAUUAUGCUAGUUCUGGCGCUUUCCACGGUCUCUGAUCCAUCCCUAUAUACUAAUUAUGUUAACGUGCAUCUCUCCAUUCACAUAUUAGAUGCGAAUAAUUAUGCAACUUGUUCAUCAAACAUUAGGCUUUGACUUAAAACUCAGGGGCAUGUUGAACAUCUUACUUAAAAUGUGGCUUCUAUUGCUCCGAGUGAUGCUUUCCGUUGAUUGAAAAUUGGUGCUUAAUUAUGCAUUGUUAUCAAAUCCACCAUUCAAUCAUCUUUAAAACAAUUGUUUUAUAUAUACAAAACAUGUUCAAAAGCGAAAUUAUUAUAUACUAAUGACACUCAACGUAUUUAAGAUAUUUGUCACGAUCUUUUUAACGUUGUAGCUCCUUUGCAUCAUGGCUCCAUGGUUAAAUAUCUGGGAAAAUUUCAUUUUCUUCUUCGUGAAUUUAAUGAGCUACUAGUCCAACUUCUACUAUUCUCAUGUACGAGAUCAUAUUUUGUGGUCUCUUAUUGUUCCAAAUUUUGCUUCUACUUUUUCCACCCUCUUACACAUACCAAUUAAUUAGAUUGAUGAUUUAUACCAGAUUCCGCUAAUAAUCCCUCUACUUUGGCAUCUCAAUGAGGUUAGCACAACCCUUCUCACAAGCUAGGUAAAGGCGUCACAAGUGUGAGUAUUGUCAUAAACUUGGUCACAAGAUUGAUUGGUGUUAUGCCUUACAUGGUUAUCCUCCUUGCUCUGCUGCAUUUGACAAAUUGACCAUCCUUCACCAUCAUCAAAUGUGAAACCCACAUCAUCUAAUACGGUAGGCCCUUCUACUAUAUUCAAUGAAUUUCUCAAAUGGUAUGAGAAUUACUAGAAUCCUAGUUCAACUUCAUUUGUUGCACACAUAGAUAUCUUUUGUUAGCCUCACUCAUGGACCUUGGAUUCUUGAUUCAGGUGCCACCGAUCAUAUUAUGGGUAACAAAUCUUUGUUUUCUUCUCAAUCUUCUACAUGUUAUUUACCUUCAUUUACCUUGGAUGAUGGAUCUAGGGUCUCCUCCCAUGGUGUUGGUUCUAUUAAUCUUUUUUGUUCUUUAUCUAUUAUAAUGUUCUUUAUGUUCUCGAGUCUCCAUUUAACUUAUUAUCCAUCAGUUGUCUCAGUUGUUCCCUUGAUUGUGUUAUGUCUUUUACCAAAGAUCUUAUUUCUUUACAAGACCAGAGUUCGGUAUUAUCCAUCAGUUGUCUCAGUUGUUCCCUUGAUUGUGUUAUGUCUUUUACUAAAGAUCUUAUUUCUUUACAAGACCAGAGUUCGGGAUAGAUGAUUGGCAUCGAAUUUGAGUCUCAAGGUCUUUAUCACCUACGAGCCUCUACACAUGUUAGCAACUUGUUUCGAGUUUGUCAAAGUUAUCUAGUUUGUCAUGUGAGUCUUGUAAAUUAGGGAAACAAAGUCAUAGUUCAUUUUCUCAUAGAGUCUUACAACGUGUUUCAUCUCUGUUUAUCUUAGUUCACUCUAAUAUUUAGGGACCAAGUUAUGUUAAGUCUAAUUUAAGAUUUCAUUACUUUGUUACUUUUAUUGAAUUACUCGCGACGUACUUAUUCUUAAUGAAAAAUCGUUCUGAAGCUUUUUUUAUCUUUCAAUCCUUUUACAACGAAGUUCGAAAUCAAUUUGGGAUUUCUAUUCAAACAUUGCAUAGUGAUAAUGGCGGUGAGUAUCAUUCUCAUUCAUUUAAAAUUUUUAUGGGUUCUAAUGACAUUCUGCAUCAAACCUCUUGUGUUUAUACACCUCAACAAAAUGGGGUGGCUAAGUGGAAGAAUAGGCAUUUUAUUGAAACCACUUGUAAAAUUUUAAUUUUUAAUUCAUGUUGAUGUCCCACAGUCUUUUUUGGAUGAUGUUGUUCUCGUUGCAUGUUAUCUUAUUAAUCGCAUACCAUCUUCAGUGAUAAAUAAUAAAAUCGCUCAUUCCAUUUUGUUUCCUCAUGAACCUCUUAAUUCCUUACCUCUUAAGGCUUUUGGAUCCACUUGUCUUGUUCAUAAUUUGAGUCCUAUUCUUGAUAAACUAUCUCCUCAGUCACAUAUAAAUAUGUCUUUUCAGGUUUCACUAGAUCACAUAAAAUAUAUAAAUGUUUUUCUCCUUCACUUGGUCACUAUUUCUUUCAAUGAGUCUUAUCUUUAUUUUAAGUAUCUUUCCCUAUGUCUGUGUCUUUGUAUAUUCCUUGUGUGUCUCCAUCUAUCAUAUUCAAUAUUCCUGUUAUAUGUGCUCCUCCUUGUUAUGUAUUAGUUCACCUUCCCAGCCUACACCUCCACCAACUUUUCAGGUGUAUAGUCGACGUUUCCGUCCUGCCUCCCUCAAUAGGUUGAAUCACAUGUAGUGCCCAAUCCUCCAUCUCCUCCGGCUAUACCAACUGAGUUUUCACUUCUAGUUAGCCUCCGUACGUAAUCCAUCUCCUCAUUACACUACUUUGAUUUAUCGUAGAUUAUCUCCAUCUUUUUAUACAUGCCUUUUCUCUAUUUGUACUGUGUCCAUUCCUAAAACUGUAGGGAAUGCCUUAGCCUAGUCUAGUUGGCAUCAGGCCAUGUUUGAUAAGAUUAAUGCUUUUUAGAGUAGUGGAACUCGAGAACUCACCUCACUACCAUAUGAAAUCUAUUGUUGGUUGUAGAUGGGUCUUUGCUAUCAAAGUGGGUCCUAAUGUACUGUUGAUACUUUUUCCUUAAUGCCAAAGAUGGCUUUAUUUUGCUUAUUUAUAUUCAUCUCUUCUUUGACACUGGCCUCUUUACAAAUUGGAUGUAAAAAAUGCUUUACUUAAUGAUGAUUUGCAAGAAAAAAUUUAUAUGGAGCAACCUCCAAAUUUUGUUCCUCAGGGAGAAUCUUCUGGAUUGGUAUGUGAUCUUUGCAAAUCUUUAUAUGGUGUAAAAUAGUCUUCUAUAGCUUGGUUUGAAAAAUUUAGCAGUGUUGUUGAAUAGUUUGAUAUGACUCAUAGUGAGGUAGAUCAUUCAAUCUUUUAUCGUCACUCUAGUAUUGGGUGCAUCUAUUUAAUAGUAUAUGAUGAUGAUAUUGUCCUUACAAGGAGUGACAACCAUGACAUCUCCUGGAUGAAACAACACCUUUGUCACCACUUUCAGACCAUAGAUCUUGUCAAACUUGGAUAUUUCUUGGGGGGUUGAGGUAGCACAAUCCAAUAAUGGUAUUGUUAUAUUUCAAAGAAAGUAUGCAUUGGACAUUUUUUAGAAAACUGAUUAACGAACUCAAAAUCAGCUAACACAUCCAUGGAUCCCAAUACCAAACUUCUACCUAAUCAAGGGAAGCCUUUCUCAAAUCCGGAACAGUACAAAAGAUUACUUGGAAAGUUAAACUGUCUUACUGUUACUCGUCCUAAUAUUUCCUUUGUAGUCAAUGUGGUGAGUCAAUUUCUCAAUUCCCCAUAUGCAGAUCAUUGGAAUGUAGCCAUCCAUAUAUUAAAGUAUAUUAAAUCUCCUGGAAAAGGUUUGCUAUACAAUCAUAGUAAUCAUGCUAAAGUUGUUUGUUAUUAAGAUGUUGACUAGGCAGAAUCUUCAUCUGAUAGAAGAUCCACUUCGGUGUAUUGUGUUUCUAUUGGAGGUAACUUUAUCUCUUGGAAAAGCAAGAAACAAAAUGUAGUGGCAAUAUCUAAUGCAGAAGAAGAAUAUAGAGCAUGCCUCAACCACUUGUGAACUAGUUUGCCUUAAACAGUUACUUGAAGAAGUUCAAUUUGGAGAUGUAACUCAAAUGACACUUAUACGUGAUAAUCAAGUUGUUCUUCAUAUUAACUCUAAUUUUGUCUUUCAUGAAAUGACCAAGCAUAUGGAGGUAGAUUUUCAUUUUACUUGAGAAAAGAUUGUAUCAGAAGACACCAAGACUACGUUUGUUAACUUGAGUGAUGAGUUAGUAGAUACUUUUACCAAGCCUUUACGAGACCUAGAAUUCAUCAUAUUUGUAACAAGCUUUACACAUAAUUUAUAUGUACAAGCUUGAUGAGAAAUGUUAGAAAUGUGUAAACCUAAUUGUAUAUAUUUGGGCUUAACCCAUAUUUUCAUUAUAAAUAGACUACCCUCUAUGUUGUUUCAACAGAAGGUGAUUAACCCCAUACCUAAUCUCUUUCUAUUUUCAUAGGAACAAACUUCAAACAUAUUAUGUUAUUAUAUAUGCAUCUAAUAAGUGCUCAAUUUAAUUGAAUUUUAAGAUAAUUUUGACAUUUAUCUUAUUUUGAUUUUGUUACAAUAUGCUUAAUUCACCCCUAUUUAAUUUGUUUUAUAGUUCUUGAUGUGAAAUAGAGAGUAAAAGUGUAAAAAUGAAAAAAAAAUAGAGGAAAUUAAGGCAUUUUACAGCAAACUAGUUCAGCACAACUACAAUGCUACAUUUGGGGCUUAAGGCACACAAAGAAAACCUACAUUGGAAGGAAAACUUAAGCCUUGACCUAUGGCUUAAUCCAUGAAGAGUUCUUCACCUAGAAGUAAUCCCAAGAACAACAACAUAAGAACACACAACUUAAGCCAUGGAGGAAACCUACCUUAGUUGAAAACCUCACAACAACAGUCACGAAAGCACGAGGCUUGAGCUACAGAGGAAACUCACCUUGGAGGAAAACCUCAAGCAAACCACCUUUGGAAGGAUCUAAAACAUCACUUUUAUGGCUUGAGCAAAAAAAUGUUCAGUUGAAGCUAUAGAAAGGUAGUUUGAAAAGAUCUAGAUUAAAUCCUCUACGGCUUAAGCGCUAAAAGUUGUGGCUCAAGCCAACCUAGAUAGUUAUAAAUAUAGUAAUAGAGUAGGAAUGGGUCUGUAAGGCUCAAAGGAGAUGCUUUCAUUAUAAUUCUUAUGUUUAGAUGUUGUUGGGAUUGCAAUAUUCUAUGAUUAGUUGAACUCUCUCGUGUUAAAGUUGGAUGUAAUUAAUCUAAAACUCUUUGUACUUAUACUUCUUGAAUAUUUAUUUAUGUUUUCAUUCAAUAUGUUUGUUAAUUGAUUUAUGCUUGUUGUUGGAUGAAUUGAUGAGUCAUCUUAUCUAACUAGCUUAAGAUUGAGUGGAAGCUAGUAAUAAGUUGUGGCCCAAUCAGUUUUCUUGUGGGCUUUUGAAUGCUAGGUGUAAGACGUGGGAAAUUGUAGAGUGUAAAUAAAAUAUUGUGUCUUGGUUUAUUUGUAUUUAAUGAAAGAGCAUGUUUUCAUAAUUGUUGUGUAGCUUAAUUGGUGAGAGUUGUUUGUUGCGUAAUGGUCUUGUGGUCCAAUCUUGCUAGAAAAAUGAUUUAAUUAAGUGUUUUAUUAUGUGUAUCUUAAUUGCUAUUCGUAUAAUUUAUGUGUUUUUUUCGUGCAAUAGUCAAAGAAACACUUGUAGCAUGGUGGUUGUGGUGUGUGUGCUUUAAAGGCAAGGGUCCGAACCUUCCCAAUGUAUAUAUUAGAAAGACUAUUUGUUUUCCUUGCUUUGGUUGUUUUACCCAUGCACUAGAUGUGGCUUGAGCACAAGAGGUGUGAGCUAGGAGAAGGUGUCAAAAGAACUGUGAACAUUGGAAGAGGAAGAAAGCUAAGAUUGUUUUAGGUUAGAGCGUGCUAUCUUGGGUUUAAUCCUUGUAUAUAGGGGUCGUCUUGGUGCAGUUUAAUUCUCUAUUUUGGUAAUGGAGUUCCAAAAGGAUAUAAUCAAAUAUCAGGUUUGGAUUUUAAUAAAACUUUUAGUCCUAUGACAAAGCCUUCUAUUAUUAGAGUUGUUCUCACCUAUAUGUUGUUUCAGCUAAAUGGCCUAUUCAUCAACUUGUUAUAAAUAAUGCUUUUAUUCAUGGUAUUUUACAAGAAGAUGCUCACAUACAACAACCACAUGGUUUUUUUCUCUCAUGAUCCUAACUUGUCUGUAAACUUCAUGGAAUAAAACAAUGUCCAAAGAUCAUGGUUUAAUAAACUCAAUCAAACUUUAACGGCUUUUGGACUAUUCUACUCUCUUUAUACUUGCUUAUGUCGAUGAAAUCAUGCCAUAUCCAUUCCAUUAUUUCUAUGCCUCAAAAUUGCUUUCCUUCAAAAGAUAGGAGACUUUUACACUAUUUUUUUUAGAGUUAAUUAAAGUGUUUCAAAAUUCGUAAAUAAUUAUCGACAAAGAAUUCUAUAAGUAAUAUUAUUUACAGUUAUUUUACCUACGAUUCUUUUCAUAAAUAAUCCGUAAUAUUAAUUUCUUAUCUACAAAAAUUUGUCCUUACCAAUAUAUUUUUAUUGUAGGCAAUAAACUUUUUUUUUAGUGUUUUGCACUCUUUUUUUCUCCGUCUCCAUAUAAACAUUUCUAAUUAAGUUCAUUAAAGAAUGGAAUGUUUAUGAUAUAUUUGAGACAAAAGUAAUUUAACAAUAUAAUGAAUAUGACUUUUAAAGAUAUGUACAAAUGGAAGGUUUCAAAGAGCACAAAGAAACAUAUAAGUUGUUAAUUUUGGUAAAAUAUAGUCUUGUAAUUAAUGAAUUUUCGAUAGAAAAUAAUUUUAAAAGAUUAAUCAUUUGGUGGUGUUGAAAUAAAAAGAAAGAGAGAAUUUAAGAGUUUCGAGAUACAAAAGUUUAUAGUGAACAAUUUUUAUUGCAUUAGUUUUGAUAUAUAACUGCAAUUAAAUUUGAAAAAAAAAAAUCUCACACAGUCAUAAUAAUAGAAUUAAGAAUAUAGUUAUACCUAAAAGAAUAUAACUGCUCUUUUCAAAUUUAUGUAUACAACCAAAGAAAAUAUAUAAUUUUGGGUGUGGCAUUAAUUGGUAACUGCUCUCCAACUUGGACAUGUAAAAUGCAAUUGUAUCUUUGCAAGAUAUAUAUUAUGUAAAAUAUAACAUUGGCAGUUUUGAUCUUUAUGAAUCGUUGAAUGCGACUAAUAUUUCUAUUCUGUUUUAUUUAGUCAUUAGUUUCAAUUUCUAGUGUUGUAUAUAAAAUAUCAAACACUAUUAAGAUUUAAAUGGAAGUGAAUUUGCAGUAUGGUUGACAUGCAGAAAUAUACUUACCAAAUGGUAGAGGAAGAAGAACUCCAAACGCUCAUUACUGUCAUCAUGACUCAUGGAUUACCUGAAUAUACGAAAAAAGGUGAGUUGAUAGGAAAAACUUUAUAUAAAAGAUUCAGGUUUUUUUUAAAAUAAAAGAUUUUAUAGAGAACCUGGGAUUGUUCGUCGGACAAAGAUUGUAAUGAGAUCUUACUCAAUUUACUAUGAAAGUUUUGAUAUUGUAUUGAAAAAGUACUUUCCAUUUCAAUUACCUUCCUUUCUUUUUCGUUUUUUCUCUCUUCUUAUAUAUAUUAAGUAACAACACACACUUUAUUAUAUCUGAAAUUCAUUCAGUAUUGCAAAAUGACAGAUUGCAUCGAAAUAACGGACAUGAGUGAAGAAAUGACUUUGGAUAUAUAACAUCAUUCUAUUAGAAAAAUAUUAGUGAAAUAUACAAAAAAAAAAAAAUAGCAAUGGAAUUAGGAUAUUAAUGAGUUCUUACCUGAUUGUGAAACAACUUUUGGAUCGUUGUGUUAAGAUCGCCGUCAAAUGUUGAAUCAGAAUCUUUUGAUGUUUGAAUCUUCAAAAAGGUUGGCACUUUAAUGAAUCCUUGAGAGAAAGUUAUCAUAUUGGGACAUUCAGCUACCAUCACGUUUUUCAAAUAUGAGCAUUGCAAAGUGGCAUUCCCUGAAUAAAAGCUUAUAAGCUUUGGCAAGGAAUUCAGCUCAAUUGAUCUGAGCCGUAUAAAUACUAUCUCAUCACAAUCAUCUUCAUCGUCUUUUUUCACAAUUUCUUUGAUUGAGUCACACUUCUGUAUUUUUACAGUCUCAAGUUUCACCAAACUUUUGAGUGUUGAGAAUGUGAAUAAAUAUUCCACCUUUUCACAGAGCUUCACAGAUAACUUUGUAAGAUUGAUGAAUGGUUGUACCCACGGGUGCUCUAAACCUAUACACUCUAACUCACUUAAUUCCAACAAAAAUAAACGUUUCAAUCCAGCAAGUACUUUGUCGUGAACUUGAAGCUUUUGAGAGGGAAAUAUCUCCUUCAGACCAAAGCAUUUCUGUACUGUAAGCCAUUCUAAAUUGGGUAGCUUGUGUAAGAAAUCAAAAGGCAAACUAUCUUUCUCAUUGUUAUCAUCCUCAAAGGAUAGUAUAAGAGAUUCUAAUUUACAGAGAAGGUCUUGUGACAAACGUGCAUCGCUCAUUAGCUUAAUGCUUUCCUCAUUGAGUGUCAGUCCCUCCAGUUUGGGAGAAACCUAACAAUUGAAGUCAAACAAAUUCAAAAGACGAUGUGUUGAUGUUAGUUUGAUACUAUAAGACAAAAUUAUAUCAAUGAAAAGAAAAGGAAACCCAAAAGGUUAAAUUAUGAUGCUUCUUUACCUUUUCAAUCGAGAACAAAGGUUGUUGUAAAAAGUUAGUUGGAGCCUCUAAAACUUCUUUUUUACUAUCAUCAUCAAAGCUUGAUCUGAAUACCUUCAACUUAGGACAACAUUCCACAUAUAAGUGAUCUAACAAGGGACAUUCUAGAUCAUGCUUUUUAGGGUAAAAGCAACUCAACAGUGGCAUCUUUUCAAGAUUUAGAUAUGACAAACAAGGGAAUUCAAACAUAAUUGUUGUUCCAUGUUCCAUUUCAUCUUCCCUUCCAACUAUUUCUACCAUUUUCUCACACUCCUGUAUAUCAAGUAUCUUCAACUUCCCAAGAUGUUUGGCAAGUGAUAAAGGGAACACUGUUACUAGGCUUCCACAACCGUCAACAUUCACUUGUUUCAAAUUGGAAAAGCUGACAAUUCCUUGUAAAUUUUCUUUCCAUAUGCAUUUUAAAUUUGACAAGUGUUUUAAAGUAAGCUUUUUCAAACCAAAGAUUAUUCCCUUUGUCUCAACCUCAAUCUCAUCCGUAUCAAAUAUUACUUGCACUACAUCACAGCUAUGCACAUUCAAUUCUUUUAAGUUCUUCAAGUAAGGAAGUAUAUGAGACGGAAUUGCGAAGGAUCUAUUCCACGUUAUAUCAAAUUCCAGCUUCGUAAAACUUCCAAAAAAGUGGUCUGAUAUAGUAGGUUUUGUGUGUUGAACUCGCAUCAUUCCAAGAUAAUCAUGAAGAAUCAUAAACUUUGAGUAGUUGAAAAAAUCCUUACAAGACAAGAAACUCAAUGUCAGGAUAAUCGAAAAGUUUCAUAUGCUUGAUAUUUGAUUAAGAUGACUGGGAGUUGAAUGAAUACUUAAGUCAAAUUUUGGUAAUGCUUAUUUAUUUAUGUAUUAAUUUGUAUAAUAGGUGCCAAUUAUCUAAGAUAUAAAAAGAUAAAAAUAAGAAUAAAAGAGGGCUAAAUGUUUUCUGAACAAAAUGAAAAAAAAAAUGUAUUAAAAGGACAAUGGAGUGAUAACAAGUAGAUUUGUUUUGAGAAAUAGACCAAGCAGUUGAAUCGGAAAAAUCUAUUAACUCAUUUAGUGUUUGGCCUUUUAGAAUUACAGACUCAAUCUCCAAUCGAAUUUUUCUAUAGUAUUUGCUCCAUUAGACUUACAAAUCCGAUCUCCAAUUGAAUGGAUCAAUUACGGGAAAACUCGAACAAAAUCAGCUUCUAAACUUACAGUUUUGUCAAUCAAUUGGAAUUUUUUUAAAAUACUUUUUAAAUUUUAUUUUGACAUUUCCUUAAAAUUAAAAAGCGUAAAAUUAUUUUCUAGAAAUCAUUUUUUUAAAAUAAUAUUAUUAUGUAUUCUUGAACCUUAAACCUAAAUACUACAAAUAUAUUUAAUUUUGUAGUUGUGUUUUGUGGUGGUAGAUGUUGUCUUGCAUCAAAUGAUAAAGUACAUGAGUAUUGAUAAACCCAAAGUUUAUUCUAUAACAUGCUAGCCACAACUUAUGUGAAAUGUCCUAGCUUUUUUUACCUAUGUAAAAUGUUCUUAAUUUUUUCUUCCUAUCUUAGUCUUUUCUACAAUAUUCUAGAACUGUUAUUACAUUUUAGUACUUUUUGUUAGCAAUGGGUUUUAGGCCUAACUCAACCCCACAAAACCGGUUUGCAAGGUGAGGUCUGCACCCCACUUAUAUAUUAUAAAUUGACCUUAUCUCUAGUUGAUGUGGGACUUCCAACACAACCCCCUCACGUCGAGGUAUAUACAUCUCGAGCGUGAGACUAGAUAUUAAUGGGUGGUCUGAUAACGGUCCAAUAGUGGGUGGAACAAUAUGCCCAACAAAUAUCGCUAGGAUAAACUUUAACCAUAACUCUGAUACCAUGUUAGAAAUGGGUUUUAGGCCUAACACAACCCCACAAAACCGGCUUGUAAGGUGAGGUCUGCACCCCACUUAUAUAUUAUAAAUUGGCCUUAUCUCUAGUCGAUGUGAGACUUCCAACACUUCUAUCUUAGGAUUUUCUAUAUUGUUCUAGAAUUUGCAUUACACUUUAAUACUCCUCCUUAAUGCAAAUUCGAUAACUCAAAGCAUAAUGCGUAAUAGUUCAAAUCUUGGUCGUGGUAAUGCAUUAGUAAAAAUAUCUGCAAUUUGGUCUUCUGUUGGGCAGUACUCGAGUCGAAUUUGUUUAGUUGUCUCUUAAUGAAGUGGUAUUUAAUGGCUAUGUGUUUUGUUCUUUGAUGAUGGACUAGAUUUUUUGCUAUUGUUGUUGUCGAUUUAUUGUUCCAAUAGAUAAUAAUCGGUCCAUCUUGUGGUGCACCCAUUUAUUCAAGUAUUCUUCACAGCCAUAUUGCUCGACUCGUGGUUUCAACAACUGCUACAUACUCUACUACUGUUGUGGAUUGUGCCACGAUUGCUUGCUUCUUUAAUGCCCAAGAUAAAAUACAUAAUCCUAGUGAGAAACCGUAUCCUGACACACUCUUCAUGUCAUCCAUUGAUCCUACCCAAUCACUAUUUAUGUAGUCAAUCAUUCUUGAGUUAGUCAUGGUUUUGUACGAUAUACUAAACUUAUUUGUACCUUGUAGAAAUCUUAAAAUUAUUUUCCCUACUCCAUAAUGAAUUUGACUUCGCUUUUGCAUGAAUCUUGAUAGAAGACUUGUAGCAUACAUAAUUUAUGGCUGUAUGGUUGUGAGAUACAUGAGAUUUACAAUUAAACACCUGUAGCGUGAUGCAUUUGCCUCUUGUGCUCCAUCAUCUUUUUGAACUUCUCAUUUACGACCAACGAAUUAGCAAUCGAUUUACAAUCAUUCAUCUUGAACUUCUUUAGUAAAUCUUCAAUAUAUUUCAAUUGAAAGAUAAAUAUUUCGAUUUGACAUCCAAUUGAUAGAUGUUCCAUCAUUUCUGUGUUGCAAGAGCUAUUAAAACUCUAAUUGUAUCUAAGCGAGCAACUGGAGCAAAUGUAACAUUGUUGUUCAUUCUUAGUUGUUAUGAGUAGCCUUUAACGACCAAUCUUGCCUUGUGCUUUUGUAUUUUCCAUCAAGGUUAAGUGUUGUUUUAUAUAUCCAUUUCACUUCUAUGAUGUCUUUUCCAUAAGGGCAAUUUACAAGUUCACAAAUGUUAGUCUUCUCGAUUAUUUUAAUCUCUUCUUCUGUAGCCUUAACCCAUACUUCUUGCAUUGGUGCUUCUUCGUGACAAUUAGGCUCAAUUAUGGUCAAAUUGUAAGUUAAAUAUAUGUGUACCAAAUAUCUUAUUCGUCAUGGACUGGAUCCAGGUGAAGAAUCUUGUUGUUGUGGAGGUGGAGAAAGAAUACCUGAAUUUUCUGCCUCUUCUUAAGUUCUUCUUGAGAUUGUUGCAGUAGAAGUAAAAUGUUGUUUUUAACUCCCAAUUCCAAGAAUCAUUUUCAUCAACUUCAACAUCUCGACUAAUGAUGAGCUUUUUUGUUUGUAGGUUGUAGACUCGAUAGCCUUUUGACUGUGUGUUAUAUCCCAAGAAUAUUCCUCGUAUAGUCUUCUCUUCAAGCUUGUGCCUCUUUUGGUUAGGAACAUGUAUGUAGCAGAUAGAUCCAAAUACUCGUAAGUGUUUAGAUGAUGAUUUUCUUCCACUCCAAACAUCACUAGGAGUCUUGUCUUGGACUGCCUUAAUUAGACAUUUAUUUAGAAUAUCAAUUGUAGUUUAGAUUGCUUCAUCCCAAAAAGUGUUAGGCAUACUUUUCUCUCCUAGCAUUGAUCUUGUCAUCUUCAUGAUUAUGCGAUUCUUUCUCUUUGACACACCAUUUGGUUGUGAAGUAAAUGCGACUGUAAGUUGUCAACACUAUAUUAAGACAGAAGGUUAGUAUCAUCUCAUUGUCUCCUUAUAUGUUGAUGAACUUAUCUAAACAUAAAAUAAUAUGGAGAUGAUGAAAGAAUUUAACGAAGACAUGAUGAAGACAUUUGAGAUGUUCGACCUUGGAUUGAUGAACUAUUUCCUUGCUAUAGAGGUGAAACAACAAAAAGAAGGUAUAUUCACUACAACAAAACUUGAUAUUACCGAUAGUCAAAAUCCACCGGUAAUGAAUAAAAUUCAUCGAUAAAUUAAAAUUACCGAAGCUUUAUCAAUGGUCAAAAAUUCUUCGGUAAAAGUAUUGUCGAUAAAUCUUUCAAUAAUUACCGACAAAAAAUCCCAUCUAUAAAUUUAUUGGUAAAUAUCGCGAUCUGAUUCACCUUCUUCCUCAUUCUACUUAUUUUUCUUUCUUUUAUUUUUAUCCAUCCAGACAAAAGAACACAUUAAAAAAAUAUCGCUCAUGCCAAACAAUGUAAGGUGCGUCUUUGAUCAUAAGGGAAGUGACAAACGUUGGCUUUGACUGUACAUAGAUAAGAUAACGACGGUGUUGUGUAGUGGUGGCAGUGUCGUUGCAUAGUUUCGUGAAAGAGGAAGAAUGGAGGCAAUGCCCAUUCCCUACACAUGCUAGAGAAGAAAAAAAUGGAGUGGAAGACCUCAAACGCAAUGUCAUCAGUAGAGACAGACACGGGAGCCUGAUUGAAAGGAGGUGGACGCAGCUAGGCUUGUAGCUGCGAUGGUGAGAUGGGGAAGUAGGAGAAGAAGGAGGUUGCCUCGCGAAAAUUUAACUUGUAUGUCUCGCAGACAGAGAGAAAAAAUGGGCGAGAAAAUUUUUACUCGUUUUCCCAAUGGAUUUACAGAUGGAUUUUCUGUCGGUAAUGUAUAUUUCACUUAUUGACGAAUUUAUCGACGAAAUUAUUUGUCGGUAAUGUAUAUUUGAAUUAGCGACAAAUUUUAUUGAUGAAUUUUUUCGUCGAUAAGUGAAAUAUGCAUUACCAAUGAAAUUUAUCAGCAAUUUUUUUUUUGUCGAUAAGUAAAAGAUGCAUUAGCAACAUAUUUUUCUAUUGAUAAGUGAAAGAGUGGUGGAAAAGUUCCCGCUUUUUUUUAUCGAUGAAUUUUUCCUUGGGUAAUGCAUAUCCCAUUACUGACAGAUUUCUUUGUCGGUAAGUGAAAUAUGUAUUAUCGAUGUAUUCUAGCUAUGGAUUUUUCGUUGGUAAACAAUAAAAAAAUUUCAAAAUUCAUUAGUAAAAGCCACAGAUAAUACAAAUUUACUGACAGAUAUAUUCCUGUCGAUAAAAUUUCGUCGGUUAUUUCAAGAAUUUUUGUAGUGAUUUAUUUCUCAAAAUAAAUCUAUUAAAUUUUACUAAAGAAGUUCAAGAUGAAUGAUGGUAAAAAUGUUGCCACUUCGUUGGUAUGGUAAACAAGAAGCUUCAAAAAGAUGAUUUAGCAACCGUGGCACAAUUAUCAGCGGAAGCAGUCAAGCAAUAUGGCUACGAAGAAUAUUUGAAGAGAUGGGUGAACCAUAAGAUGGACCAAAUAUCACUUCAUUCGAGAUGAAGAGGCAACUAAACAAAUUCGACUCGAGUAAUGUCUAACAAAAAACCAAAUUGCAGAUAUUUUUAUGAAGCCAUUACCAAGACCAAGAUUUAAAUUAAUGCCCGAUUCUUGGAGGAGUUACCAAAUUUGCAUCAAGGAAGAGUAUUAAAGUAUAAUGCAAAUUCUGGAAGAAUGUAAAAACUCUUAAGAUAAAAGAACUCAAAUGUAAUACAAAUUUUAGAAUAUUGUAGAAAAGCUUAAGAUAAAAAGAAGAAAAAUCGAAAAUAUUCUACACAAAUAAAAAUCUAGAAGAUUUCACAUAAGUUAUAACUAACAUUUUUUUAAAAUAAUUUAUGAGUCUAUAAAUACCAAUGUAAUCUACCACACUUGAGCUAAGACAACAUCUACCUCAAAUAAGACAACUACAAAUUUAAAUACAUUUCUUCCAACUACUAUUUUUUACGUUCUAUCAUCUUCACACAUUUUCUAUCUCAUCAACUAUUUUUUUUUCACAACCUAAAAAUACUAACAUUGUACCUAGUAAAAUAAUUAUUUUUAAAAUAAUAAUCCAUCAAACAAAACCUACUGCUAAAUAAUAUAAUAUAUUAUAAUUGAUUUGAGCUUAAGAAAAGAGUAUUUUAUAACAAAAGAAAAAAAAUAAUAAUGUAAUACAAAAGAAGACAUUUACUUAUAUAUAUAUAUAUAUAUAUAUAUAUAUAUAUAUAUAUAUAUAUAUAAAAUAAUUAGGAUAAGUAAUUCUGACCUUUUCAUGAAAUAAUCUUUGGACAGUUGUGUUGAGAUCGACGUAGAAAGUGAAAUCAGAAUCAUCGGAUGUUUGAAUCCCCGAAAAUAUGGCUAGUUUCGUGACUCCUUCAGAGAAAGUUUUCAUAUUGGGACAUUCAACUACCAUCACAUUUUGUAAACAUGAGCAUUGCAAGGUGGCAUUGCCUGAAUAAAAGAUUAUUAGCCUCGGUAAGUAUUUCAGCGUAAUUGAUCUGAGUCGUCCAAAUACUAUCUCAUCACAACCAUCUUCAUCGUCCUUUUUCACAACUUCUUUGAUUGAUUCACACUUCUUUAUGCUUAGAUUCUCCAGUUUCACCAAACUUUUGAGUGUUGCAAAUGUGAAUAAAUAUUCCAUCUUUUCACAGAGAUUCACACAUAACUCUUUAAGAUUGAUGAAUGACACUGCACACAAAACUAUGUUUUCUACUCGAGGGCAACUGUAAAGAUUUAAUAAUUUAAGCUUUUUGGAGUAUGGUUGUACCCACGGGUGCUCUAAACCUAUACACUCUAACUCACUUAAUUCCGACAAAUAUAAUCGUUUCAAUCCAGCAAGUACUUUGUCGUGAACUUGAAGCUUUUGAGAGGGAAAUAUCUCCUUCAGACCAAAGCAUUUUCGUACUCCAAGCCCUUCUAAAUUGGGUAGCUUGUGAAAGAAAUCAAAAGGCAAACUCUCUUUCCCAUUGUUAACAUCCUCAAAGAAUAGUGUAAGAAUUCUUAAUUUACAAAGAAGGUCUUGUGGCAAACGUGCAUCAGUCAUAAGCUUAAUGUAUUCCUCAUUGAGUACCAGUCCCUCCAGUUUGGGAAAAACCUGACAAUUGAAGUCAAACAAAUUCAAAAGGUAAUGUGUUGAUGUUAGUUAAAUACUAUUAACAGAAAAAUAUAUCGAUGAAAAGAAAAGCCCAAAAGGUUAAAUUAUAUUGCUUCAUUACCUUUUCAAUUGAGAACAAAGGUUGUUGUAAGUUAGUUGGAGCCUUUAAAACUUCUUUUUUACCAUCAUCAUCAAAGUUUGAUCUGAAUACCUUCAGCUUAGGACAACAUUCCACACACAACAUAUAUAACAAGGGACAUUCUAGAUGAUGCUUUCCAGGGUAAAAGCAACUCAACAGUGGCAUCUUUUCAAGAUAUAGAUAUGACAAACAAGGGAAUUCAAACAUAAUUGUUGUUCCAUGUUCCAUUUUAUCUUCUCUUCCAACUAUUUCUACCAUUUUCUCACACUCCUCUAUAUAAAGUGUAUUCAACUUCCCAAGAUGUUUGGCAAGUGAUAAAGGGAACAAUGUUACUAGGCUUCCACAACCAUCAACAUGCACUCUUUCCAAAUUGUAAAAGCUGACAAUUUCUUCGAUAUUUUCCUUCCAUACACAUUUUAAAUUUGACAAGUGUUUUAAAGUAAGCUUUUUCAAACGAAACACCAUUCCAUGCAUCUGGAUUUCACUCUCGUCUACGUCAAAUAUAAGUUGUGCUGAUUCGCAUUUCUCCACAUUCAAUUCUUCUAAGUUCUUCAAAUAAGGUAGUACAUGAGAGGGAAUCAAAGUAUCUCUUUUACAUGCUUCAUCAAAUUCCAAUUUCUUCAAACAUCCAAAGAAAUUGUCCGGAAAGGAAAAUUUGCCAUGUCGAACUUUCCUCUCGGGAUAAUCAACAAGAUUUAUAUCCUUUGAAUAUUCAAAAGAAACCUUAAAAAGAGAAGAAACUAAAUGUCAGAUGUACUUGACAAUCAAUGAUUGAAUAACUAUAUAAAAAGUCUUCUAUACUAAUUCUUAUGGUAUAUGUGAUCCGCACUUUUGUUCAUUAUAUAAUUUAUUAUAAAAAAUUUGGAAAAAUGAAAAAAGUGGAAAUUGUUUCAAAUAAUUCAUAGAGUAUGAUAAAGGUCAUCGUUUGCAGAAAUUUGAUUGUGAAAUUGUGCUAGACAUUUGGAUAUCAAAUCCAACUUGAUAAUAUAAUCCAUAAACCUUGACCUAUGAAACUAGGAAAUAAAUUACUUAAAUCUGUACAAAAUGAC